RNAcentral lists this long non-coding RNA (70878 nucleotides) under Ananas comosus (pineapple). RNAcentral describes it as "long non-coding RNA (ACOM_LNC032619)". The record is from RNAcentral. Lineage: Eukaryota; Viridiplantae; Streptophyta; Magnoliopsida; Poales; Bromeliaceae.
UUUUUUUUUUUUUUUUUUUUUUUUUUUUUUUUUUUUUUUUUUUUUUUUUUUUUUUUUUUUUUUUUUUUUUUUUUUUUUUUUUUUUUUUUUUUUUUUGUUUUUUUCUUUGGGGUACUUGAAGUAUCCUGGAUACCCCACACCCCUCAAAGACAUUGCAAAUCAAAAAUCCACUUGUUAAGUAAGUUAAAAAAAUUAUAAUCUAUUUUUUUUUGCAUAUCAAUAUACGGGCAAAUUUUUAAUUUACAUAUCCGAUCCAUACGGCCCGAGCCCUUUGCUUCCACCACAGACAUCCAUUUUUUUUCACAAAUUAUUUUAUCAAAAUUUGUCACACUGACGAAAAUUUUGGCAAAUUUAGGUAACAAAAUAGAAUUCAAUAAACAAAUUUUGAGACAUAUCAAGCAUAAAAUUUUAUUUUUGCGUUAGAAGAUUAAAAAUACUGAUAAAAUUAAAAGCUAAAUUAUAUCAAUUGAACUUAAAUUUAUUUAAUUUAUUUGUCAUAUAAUUUAUUGCUUAAUUUUUUUUGAUAGAUCUAAUAAUUUUUUGAAAAAAUUAAUUAAAAAAUAAUUUUUUCAAAUACUUUUUAAAAUAAGUUUAAUUUUUUUUUUGUAUUUUAUAAAAGAAAGACUGUAAUAUGGUCAAAAGAAAGAAAGAUGUUUUCGCAUUUUAAAAAUUCUAACCUAUAAAAAUUUCGAUUCUGCAUUAGAUAUAGUUGUAUUUUACAUACAAAAAAGCUUACAAGUAUAUUAAUUGAUGAAUAUAAUAAGCUAUACAUAGCAAAUAUUCAUAAUUUUUAAUUAAAUCUUUCAAAAUAAUAUUAUAAGAGCUUAUUAGAACUAAAAAAACUGAAAUAAAUCCGUACCAAAGCGUGCCAGUAGGACGGCAUGCGUAUCCAUCGGCAUGCAAACGUACUAUGUAUCGGCACGGUAUCGGCACGGAAGCAUGCCGGUGCCAUACCGUGCCAAGCAAACAGCGGCACGCCCCGUGCCACAGCACUUUAAACCUUGAUCUAGAUCAAUGCACGAAUCAGCUGUUGCAAUUAACUAAAGAAAAGUUCACAUCUAAAGCCACCUAGAGUUUACUCGUGUUAAAUUAUAUGACACAAUCAUUUUAAGCUGGUAGAGAAUGAUAUUUUCAUUUUAUUUUUAUAUUUAACACUCACCUUCACGUUUGGGCUUGAGAGCCCUAUGACGUGGAAUUAAAUGAGAGGAAAUCAAUAAUGCUAGGAGCUUGCCGUGACUUGAACUCAGAACCUCCUGCUCUAAUACCAUGUUAAAUUAUAUGAAACAACUAUUUGUCUCUAAAAGCUUAAGCUGGUAGAGAGUUAACAACUUGGGUUGAAAAUAUUCUCACAGAAUAAUAUUCUGUCCCAGAUAAUGUCAUCUCUAUCACCACCUAUGCAUCUCCAACUAAAAUUGACAGGUAAUCUAUUUGGCUCCAAUAUGUUGCAGUUUUAUUUCCAUAGUUCUAUUACUAUCAUACUAUAUGAUGAACUACUUCAUUUUGUUAUAAGUUUAUUGUUCCGGCACUUGGAAUGACAUACAUAACCCUAGAUCUUCUACAAAACAGCGCAGAACAUCAGCGUCUUCAGUCUUUAGGAAUGAAGUGAAAGAAACAAGGAAUUUCCUUAAUGACAUGACUAACAUUACAAUCUGUAUUUACUUUAAUUAAAACAGUCUACGCUGAUCAAACACAAAUAAAAGAUGUUUAAAUUUUAAGAAGGUUCAAGAAAGUAAUUCUAAAUCUUAAUAUUAGCCAUAAUUCCCAACAACCUGUUGCCACUUUUCAGCUACCAUCCGACCAAGAACACCUGGGCCCACAAUCAGCAGAUCAUUUUCUCCAACAAUGUCAAAGCAAGAUAACUUCAUUCCUGACUCAUAAGAAGUUUCUGCACCUAUGAAGCAAACAGAGGCUUUCAAAUUAUAUAUACAUCAAGCACCUCUAUACUUCUACCCUAGAAAUUUAGAAGGAUAUGCUUUUAAAAACUGCGCUAACAAGGGUAUAUGCAAAAAUUAUUUUUUUUUAUAGAGGUUAACUUGUAACUGAUGAUGUUGUGGGGAUAUAUAUAUGUAAAAGCCUCAAGAUAGAAAAGGAACUUCUGAAACGCUUACGCAAUACUAGUGCUUACACAAGAAAAUCAAACAUUAUAAUCACAACUUCAUAUCAGAGCAGUCUGUUAUUAGAUUUAAUAACACUUGUUAUUAGAUUUAAUCCCCUCUUCUAUUUGAUUUCAUUGUUAUUAUCACGGCCUGCGUCGAUGGGCAGUCUGUUAUUAGAUUUAAUACCCUUUUGAAUAAAAUUAGUAAUUUCAGCACGCAAAGCAUAACCUCCAAUCCCUUAAUAUAGUGUCAAACUGGUGCUAUCAAAAUAAAUCUAUAAAUUUAGAACCAAAGAUUUAAGGGCCAUCGGCACAGGCCAUGCCUACCAUGCCGAUAAAAUAUUGGCGCGAUAUAACCCCCCGUGCCCAAGGCACGGUUCAAAAUCUCUCUUCUUUGAAAUUAGGAAGUAAUUAUCUCAAUAAAGUGUAAAAGGUUUGAUAAAGAUAUACAAUAAGCAACUAGAAUAUAUUAGUGCCAAAGAAAAUAAAUAUUUCAUGUCAUAGUGUGUCGCCACAUAUGUAUUUUAUGAUCGACACACACCGGCAAGACAUGGCAUGCACCAUGACCUUCCGUACCAACAAAUUCUCAACACGACCCUAUGCCACGGCACUUAAAUCCUUGCUAGGAACAGAACAGGUCAAAUAACAUGGUUUUAUUCUAUUCCUUAUCGGGCAUUGGCACAUUCGAGAGGAGAAAAUCGAUAAGAGUUGUAUGUAGGGUAAAAGGAGAAUCUAAACCACCAACACAUUAAUUGAAACGAAGAGGAUGAUCAGUUUAUCAUAAAUCAUGGUUUAUUUCCACAGUUAGGCUCCUGACUAAACUAGCCAUCAAUGACUAUCAACUAGGAAAAGAUAACAUGGACAUUAUACUUGGUUUUAGUAGUACUGUUAAGUUUGGUAGCUUCAGAGCGUAUACGCACGAGAUCCAUUGCCUCUUCGUCAAGCAACAAAUAGAAUUUGCAAACUUUCAUAAACGAUGAAAAAAGGUUCUCCAUUUGGUAAAAGGAUCAACUAUUCCACAUUACACAUAGGGCUCCUUUCAGCAGUUAAUUAGCUAACUAACCUAUCGAUCUUUUUUCUGAAAUGCACUAAUCCAUCAACCUUCAAAAAGGUAUUAGAUACAUUGAAAUAAGUGCUGCACUACCACAGAUAAGAACCUGCGGAUGAACAGGCGAUAACAGUAGGGCUACUGGAUAAACUACAAUUAUAAUUUCAUCAAGCAUGAACUUAUAAAACCUAAUCACCAAAAUCCAAGGAGGAUUUUUGCAAAUUUUGGAUCCAAAGCUGUUGUCCUGAAUCUAAAGGUCCUUCGCCAACAUUGUGAUAGAUUUACACACAAAAGAUCUCAACCGGAGGCAUUUCGGUCCUCAAAAAUAUAUUACGAGCCAUAGUCGAAGUGGGCUGAAAUUGCAAAAUCAAAUAAUGUGUAGUGCUUUUGAAAAUGGCAAAAGAAACAAGCAUAAUAGCAUACCAAUAAAUUUGUACAAUCAGUAUUUCCUGAAAGUACUGCUGUUAAAUUCUUAAAUAACAAAAAUGACAUCCAAAAAGAGAUUAAGAAACCACCAUUUGUCUCCAAAAGCUUAAGUUACCAAAUAACUAAUUUGAUAUUUUAUAGUCAACACUCCAAACGCUUAAGCUACCAAAUAACACUAUUUUAAUAUUUCAUAUUCAACACUCUCUCUCACGUGUAGGUUCAAGACUUUUACCAAAUAACACUAGUUUAAUAUUUUAUAUUCAGCAAUCCCCCUCGCGUCUAGGUUCAAGAUUUUUUGACAUGCCCAAAACGUGAACUUGGAUUUGAAUGGAAGGAAAUUAAAUUAAUUGAAUCUAGGAGCCUGGCAGAAUUUGAAUUCACGACCUUAUACUCUGAGACUCUGAUACCAUGUAAAAUAACGUGAAACAAAUAUUUUCGUCCAAAAACUUUAAAGUUGUCAGAAAACAAGGCUUUAAUAUAUUAUAUUCAACAGUCCCCCGAACAUCUGGGCUCGAAAUGUGAAUUUGAAUUAAAUGGAAGGGAAUAAAAUAAAGGCUAGGGUCUUGGUGGGAUUUGAACUCGGAACAUCUUACUCCCAUAGCAUGUGAGGAAACAAUCAUUUCUCUCCAUAAGAUUCCAGCAGUGAUUCUAUCAAAUUUCACUACUCUAACUACUUGAGUGUAGAUUUCAUAAUAAAUAAAUAAUAACCAAUAGCUCAUGAAACCAUUAAUUUUAAUUUUAAUUCAAAAUUCUUGAUUCAGAUAACUCAAAUCAAAACAAAUGAAAGGCUAAGGGGUGCUAAUAAAAAAAAACAGGGAAAAAUAGAUCAGAUUCCACUAUUCAUGAGAUUCUGCUAUUCAUCGAAUCUAAAUCCUAAGCCCAAUCGCAAGGCCAACCAGUUAAGCACGAUCGACCAGAACACGCAUUGACGCAACCAAACCCUAGGGUCGUGCGAAGAAUAAGAGGAGGAGGAGGAAGAGGAGGAGGAGGAGGAGGAGGAAGAGGAUGAGGAGAGGGCAAUGGCGAAGGAGAGGAGCUCACCGACGGAGGCGGAGGCGGAGGAGGAGGAGGCCAUGGAUACGGAGCGAAGGAUGGGGCGAGAGCGAAGGGGAACGGAGAAGAGCGUGGAGGAGGAGGAGGGGAGGGAAAGACGAAGAGGAAGAGGAAGAGGAAGAGGAGGAGGAUGAGAGGAGAAGCGAAUCGCAGCGGCGACAACCACGACUCCCAUUGAAGAAGAAGAAAGAUUAGAGUGGGAGAACAACAACGGGGCGGUUUUAUUUUAGCAAAUCGGGUGACAAGGAAGAAUCCACGUAUCUAUAUCUAUGCAUUACAUUAUCCAUAAAAAAACCAUUAAUUAAUUAGCAAAAGCACUAUUUGGACCUCCAAGUCACUAGGUACCAUUUAGUUCGGGAAUAAUGAUUUUGGGGAUAAAUUUGUUUAAUUCUGGAAUAGUCUGCUAUUCUAGAAUAAUCAGGGAUAAAAAUAAAAUAGUAUUUGGUUUGUAAAACGAUUAUUUCUGAAAAUAACAGAAAUUAUGUUUGGUAAGUUUCUUGGAAUAAAUAAGAAUAGUGACAAAAAGUGUUAGAUUAAUUUUAUAAAUACCAAUUUUGCCCUUAGCUUUCAUGUGCAAAUAUUUUGUAAGUUACCCAACCAAUUAGAUGCAACAUUUAGCUAAACAAGAGAACAUUUUAUACACAUGAUUGCUAGAUUAAUUUUAUUUUUAAUUUAAUGUCAGCACAUUAGAAAUUAUGGUAGUAACAUAUGCUGAAGAGAAAAUAAUUAAAUUUAAGAAGUUCAAGUCAUUGUUAGAUAAAACUAAUAUUGUUAAAUUAUACAAGAAGGCUGUUAAUUACAUCUAAUUCAAAAUUAUAAUAAAAUACAAUGCUGCUUAAUUACUACUAUACAAAACCAAACAACAUGAAGCUAUACAAGAAGGAUGUUAAUUACAAAAUCCCAAAGGCAAGAAAAGAUGAAGAAGAGACAUUGUAUUGAAAAAUAUCAACAUCCAACUCAUACAAAGCAAUUCAGGAGUGCAAGUAACAAUGCAAAUAGUUAAAAACAUCCAAUUACGGGAAAUUUAACAACAGAACAAAGUAGGUUCAAGGUGAAGACAAGAUACACAACUAGAUAAAGCAAAUUACAAAGCAUGUUCACACAAAUUUAUAAAAAUUAUAUCAUUUCCAAUAUAGCCUCCUAUCUAUUGUUCCACAGUUGCUCUGUGAUCAUAGUGUGAAGGGCGUCACCUCGCCGAGACUCAUCUGGGCCAAUAGGAGGUAUCGAGUCAUCAUUUUGGUCGUCUGUGGGGAAUUGGUCCAUUUGCAUGUUGAAAUAUUGUCACGCCCCGGGACCCAGCGGAAGCCCGCCCGGCGCGUGCCCAGACCCGCCAUACGUCUAAAACGUAUAAGGCGUCUAGGAACAACAAUAAUAAAAGCAAUAUUAAAGGACAUCUAGGAAUAUCAGAGCAUAAUAAAUGUCUAAAUGCUACAACAAAGGAUGAGGAAAAGCUGUAAAUCCACUAAAUAAGGCAUAAAGUAAAUACAAUAGGAAAUCCCAAAUACAAGUGCUAAGAGUAGAUACAUAGGUGGUCUCUCUACAGGGUACAAAACUCUCACUCUCUCAACUACAAAAGAAAGAGUAAACCACCUAGGCAAGUAAGCUCCUCGCUAGCUAGCUACGCGAUCCCCUUGCCGCGAUCCCGUGCCUCCGCCGGUGCCGAAGGCUCUGAAAAGGAAACCAUAAAAGGGGCGCUGAGAUACUAAUCAAAAUAGUUCCAGUGUCGAUUACUGACUCAGUGAAUCACCGAGCAAGCCAAACACAAAAAAGAGGUUAGUGAAUAUAGAUUAGAAAAGCGAAAGUAAGUAAAAAUGUAACUUACAUAAACAUGAUAUCUCUACUAUAGCCUAAAUAGCAUAAUAUGAAUAAGACUAUGGUGAAGUAAAAGUCUCAACAUAUCAUAAUUUCACAAUGGCGAAAUAAUAAAGUUCUAUUGUUUCCUAUUACUAGUACAAUGUCCAAAUAAUACUCUAAUCAUCCAUCUUCGCACAUGUCAUAACGAAUACUCAAGCCGAAUCUGAAGAGACCCACCCGAAGGCUGUCUAAUAGCCCUGAGACGCCACCGAAGGCUGUCUGGCGGGUUGCCGAGCCAAUGGCCCGUGGUCGUCAUGCACCCCACCUAGGAUGGGCCUGCCCACGGCAAUCCACUUCGCGCUAAAUCCCGCAGCCGGCGAGUAUGAAUCCGGCUGAUGGCCAUCCCGAUGGCCGGCUUAGUAGGGAGCGACCCUCACAAGCAUAGUGCGGAAUGAGCAUGGCAAUACAAUACGAUCCGUCCAAGUACCAAGUUCCUCCAUGUCAUAAUAACAAUGGGAAUGUGUCAAGAUAAUCUCAAUGCCUAUCUAAUGUCAUCACUGUCUCUAACAUGGAAUAUAAGCAGAUAUGUAGUGGCCUAUCAUAUGUCUCUAUAAUGGCAGGUUUCAUAUUUACUAGUUUCAAGUGCCCCUUUAUGACCUCUUCUGCUCUCUAUGUCAAAAAACAUGGCAACUAUGUUCCCAAGUCACAUAUUCCGUCAGUAAUCCUCAAUAUAAGAUGAAUUGUUUUCACUUGCAAAUUAACACUUCUUCCGUAAUGGCAUGCAUUCUACUCAAUAGCUUCUACUAUUAUAGGAAAUAUUCAUAAUUAAAAGGCAUGCAUUUUAAGUGCUCUAAAAUUCAUAUAAUUCCCAAUUUAGCAUAGAAAUCUAACUAAAACAAAUAAUUACAACAAGUAGAAAGAGCAAUCGGGGCCAUUCGCCCCAGUUUCCACUGAGCUCAAACCCACCGAUGACAACGAAACUCCUCGUGCGCUCCCACGAGGGUGUCCUCUAGUCUCCUAGUAUCCUAGAGGUAUGAAAACAUGAGUCAUACGAGCCGAACGAACAACACCUAGCUCAAACAUUAAGCUAAUCAAGCAUAGGUGUGAAAAACUCACCUCUAGUACAAAAAUCUCCUCUAAAGCUCUAAAAUGAAGCUAGGGCUCAUCCAAUCCAACCUAAUGGAAGCCUCUAAUCCACUCAAUCUAGCUCCAAAAGCCCUAGAUUCAAAAUACCCAAAACAAACCCUAAUAUCACAAUCUAGGGUUUAAUCUCAUGAAAUUCAAUAAAAUUCAAAUCUAGAGGGAGAUAAUAUAAUGCUUACCUCUUAGAAGCUUCAAAUCAAGCUCUAAAUCCUUUAAAUCCCAAGAUCUAUCCUCCACUUAGCUCCAAAUUCAAGCUUGAGGCUUCAUCCAUGGUGGAAAUGGCACCAAAGGGCAAAAGAGAAGAAAAUCCAUCAAAAACCAAGCAAAAUGGAGAUCAAAAUCAAAUGGGACAAGGUGGGGCUUCACUCACCUUCCUCUCCUCUGGUUCCAGCACAAAAAAAGCCCUAAGGGGCGUGGGUGCUGUUAUAAGAAGCCCACAAUCGCGAAAAACCCCCUGCAGACCAAACUGCACGAAAUCUGCCUCCUUGUACCGGUACACGGGCUCUUGUACCGGUACAAGGCCGACGAAAUUGCAAACCCGAGGCUCGGGUCGCGCGGUCUGCGGCUCUGUACCGGUACAAGCCCGAUGGCUGUACCGGUACAACCAUCAAUCCUUGUAUCGGUACAAGGCCAGUCUUGUUCCGGUACAAGCUCUGCUGCAGGCUACCCGAGAGCUGUCCAAUGAAUCCAGUUUUUGGAUUUUGGUACCAAACUUCAAACCAACAUCCUCGGGGUGCGUGCCAGGGGUCGGAACACUAUCAACGACCAUCCAAAAACUGUAGAAAGGCUCCACACACAGAUCAAACACUCGAAUGUUGCAAUUUGCUAAGAUCCAGUGUAUUACAAAUAUCUAUCGGUCCCUUGGUGCCUCUUGAUGAAAUUGUGUAUCACACAACAAGCAAGGGCAAUGCAACACUGUACUUUGUAAGGAAAGGGUGUUGCUUGUCGUUACAAGCACCUUGCAGCUAUUGAACCAUCUCUUUAGGAUCCCAAAGGCUUUCUCAACUACAUUUCUCAAUUGAACGUGAUGAUAAUUAUAUAAAUCUCAAAGUCCUCGAUGCGUUCGUGCCUGUGCGUUUACAUCGAAUUGGCUCAAGUGGUAUCGCUCACCUUGAUAGGGAGCGAGGAAGCAGCCAGUGUUCGCAUAGUCUGAAUCAACUAAAUAAAAUUUUCCUAAACAAAUAUAAAGCUUUAUUAGAAUUACAAUAAUGAAACUUGUAUCACACAUUAAAAAGCAAAAGUUUAGUUACCUUCCGGUAUCGUGAAACCGCCGCUCUUGCAACACCAUCACAACACCCUCAUAUCAGCUGCAGAACCCUCCCACCCGGUGCAUACAAAUAAAAAUUCAUGGUCGAAAGAACAUCAUCAUGUUGUGAGAUGUAAAACCUUUUCGGCAACGAUAUCUUGGUUGCUUAGCCUUUCGUACAACCACCGGAAUGUGUGUUCCAUCUACUGCACCAAUUGCAUUUUGAAAAAAAAAUUUUACAUAAAUACAAUAGUUAGCAUCAAAUAUGUCAUUACCAAAUAAACACAAAUUAAUUCAAAUAAUUAAAGUACCCAAAUCUGAGGGUUAGUUACCUUGAAUGGAUGAAAAAUCGGAUUAUUUUUUAUUCUUGGGUGUACACCAACAUUAGAUGCCGGUGGUUGGAUAUACUUAUGUCUAAGUUCCACCACACCUCGCAGUACAUUAUUAAAAUGCCUCCUAAUCGUUUCUCCUGAAUGUUGAAAAGUUUCAGCUAAAACUCUGUUGGCUACGCCAUGACCUAUACCAAAUAAAAAUAUACCAAGUUGCUCAUCAACAGUUAAAUGCCUAGUGCUUUGUAUACACCCUCUCUCAACUAAUUCAUCUUAAAGUCUUAUAAACAUAGUGGUAGUCAUCCUAAAAUGUUGGUAUUCUCUAUCAGGAUGUCCACUCAAUUUGUCAUGAAUUAACUGAUGGCCAGUGAACGGCCGUGUUCGACAAGGCUGCUUAUAAAUUGUGCUGCGGAAUGAGAAGUCCCCUUCUUCGAUAAGUAAUGCAUGGACUUCUUCCCAAUAGUCCUCUUCCUCUUCUAAGAAUGUCAUGAGAUCGGCAACAAGUGGUGAAGAAAAAGCUUGACGAAAGAUCGCCAUGACUGCAAAUGAACAAAAUAAAACAUUCAUAACACAAUUAUAAUUAUAGAUUAAUCUAUAAUGGCUUAGUUAGUAAGGUCGAAAGAUAUGCAAGGUGGCUGCAUGGUCUUUAGCCAUGCCCCCCAACCCUGCACAUCUAUUUGGUUAGGUAUCAUCAUCACCGAAAGAAGAAAGUAGGAUGCAAGAAAAGAAAAAAGGGCAAAGAAGUUGUGAAGUUGAAGCAAGAAUCAAGUGCACAAGUUUAUAAGUGACAGUAUUGCAAAUAGUCAAGUAAGCAAAUUACUGCCUUACAGCUGAAAUUCCAUAUAUGAAUCAAAGCUGAAACAAAGUAUAAAUGGUGAUACUUUGUGUUGGCUCAGGUUUUAAGAUCCACAAGCAUGAAUGGUGGAUGCAAUACCUUACGAAUCGCAGCCCAAUCCAUUCAAGCCUGCUAAUCUUUUAUCAUCAUUGCCGAAUUCGUUGCCGAUAUGACCACAUGUAGAUUCAGAUCUGGGAGAAGAAAGAACUCACCUCGGGUAGCAUUGAACUAACCACAUUACUGCAGGUUGGAAGAAGAGAUGCAGCAGUGAACAGUUGGAGAUGUGAAAUGGCAUCCAGCAGAAUGUGAGUAAAGGCAACAAUGUUGCAAUUACAAGUAUAGAUGGUCAUAUAUUGUUGGCUCAGGUAUUAAGGCCACAAGCAUGAAUGGUGGAUGCAACACCUUACGAAUCGCCGCCCAAUCCAUUCAAGCCUGCUAGUCUUUUGUCAUCAUUGUCGAAUUCAUUGUCGAUAUGACCCGCAUGUAUAUUUAGAUCUGGGAGAAUAAAGAACUCACCUCGGGCAACAUUGAACUAACCACAUUACUGCAGGUUGGAAGAAGAGAUGCAGCAGAGUUAAGUUGGAGAGGUGAAAUAUCAUCCAGCCGAGGUGAAAUAUCAUCCACAAUGUUACAAUUACAACUAUAAAUUGUGAUAUAUUGUGUUGGCUCGGGUAUUAAGGCCCAUAAGCAUCAAUGGUAGCUGCAAUACCUUAGUAUUGCCCCCCAAACCAUUCACACCUGCUACUCUGUUACACAUCAUUGCCGAACGGACCAACAUGUAAACUGAGAGCCAACAAGAGAGAAGAAGAAAAGUUAUACAAUGAAGUAAACAAGCAGUGAACAAUCAAUGCAAAGAAAGCUAUACAAAGCUGUAGAUGAACUACACUAAUUAGUUAUACAUGAACUUUACAAUCUGAACAAACAAGUUUUAUAAUAAAGUAAACAGGCAGUGAAGAAGCAAUGCAAAGAAAGCUAUACAAAGCUGUAAAUGAACUACACAAAUUAUUUAUACAUGAACUUUAUAAUCUGAACAAACAAGUUUUACAAUAAAGUAAACAGACAGUGAAGAAGCAAUGCAAAGAAAAUUAUACAAAGCUAUAGAUGAACUACACAAAUUAUUUAUAUAUGAACUAUACAAUCUGAACAAACAAGUUUUACAAUGAAGUAAACAGGCAGUGAAAAAGCAAUGCAAAGAAAGCUAUACAAAGCUGUAAAUGAACUACACUAAUUACUUAUACAUGAACUAUACAAUCUAAUCAAACAAGUUUUACAAUAAAGUAAACAAACAGUGAAGAAGCAAUGCAAAGAAAGCUAUACAAAGCUGUAGGUGAACUACACUAAUUAUUUAUACAUGAACUAUACAAUCUGAUCAAACAAGUUAUACAAUGUAGUAAACAGGCAGUGAAAAAGCAAUGCAAAGAAAGCUAUACAAAGCUGUUGGUGUCAAUCUAAUCAAGCAAAUAGUUGGUGUCAAACCAAACAAAAUGAAGGUGUAUAUGAGGUAAAGGUCCCACCAAAUUAACUCAACCUUCAACCAAACAAAGUGAAGUAUGAAAACUUACUAAAUUCAUAUGAUAUGAAAUCAGUAUAAUCAAACCAAAUAGUUGGUGUCAAACUAAUGAAACUAAACAAACUCACUAAAAUUUACCUAACCAUGAACUAAGCAAACUAACAGUUAAGGCAUACAACUUAAAUCAGUACAAAAUAAACCAUGAUCUAACUUAUCCUAAUCAUGAGUUAGAGCAAACAAACAACUGAAAUUGAAAUACAACAUAUAAAGUAAAGCAUAUAGCUAAUAUAAAAGGGAGAAAUCCACUAGUUUAGGCAUGUAGGCAUCUCGGCCCACUAUGCACACAAAAUAGCUAAUGAGGUUUUGCUAACAAAAAGCAUAAGUACUAAGCGUGAGGCUACCAAAAUGUCGGUACUUCAGCAAUAUUUCUAUGAGAUUAAUUUGGAGGGAAAGAUGUAAUAUAUCGAACUUCUAUAGUUAUGAAGUUUCGGUGGAUGUUAGGAACCAUUGGAAUCAUUCCGGCGAAGUUCGGGAGUAUUCGGAUGUUUUCGGUGCGCGUUGGGCGCGAAAACGGAACCCGAAAGGCUAUAUUGGACCAUAGACUAAAUCCGGCAAAAGCGUGGAUGAAAAGAUGGUUUAAACGCGCUCGAAAACAUGUUUUGGGGGUCUCGAUGCGAUUUGAAACGAAUCGGAGGCCUAACGAGCGAAAACGGAGAAAAAGCUAAAAUUGCUGAAAAUUUGUCUAAGUCCUAAAAAUGCUGAUUUUCUGGACCUACGGGGUCCGGUCCCUCUAGCCAAGGACCGGUCCCCAAGACCCGAAAAUGCCCAGUUUAGUGCAGUGGCAGUUUUGUAAUUAAGAAUAAGUUGAUUUAUAAAGAGGCUUUGACCCCUUCUUCUUCCUCUCACAGCCCACACACACACACACCAUUGGAGAGGUAGAGAGAGAAGCUCUCUCCUCUCUCUAGAAUACUCUCUCCUCUCUCUAGAUCCAUCUCCCAAAUUCGGAGGCUUGGAGGAGAAGGACCUUGUGAACGCGUGGGAGGCGACGGUUCGGGCCCUCGUGCGCCCGUUUGAGCGGGGUGCUUCCGUCUCGGCGUUCAAAUUUUGGUAAGCUUUGGGAUUUCUACUAAAUCCUUCAUGAAAGAUAUUCUAGUAGUCUCUAGAGUAUUAUUAGCAUGUUACUCUAUAUAUUUUUGGGGUAUUUGGGAUGUAUUAUGGCUAGGGCUUCAAAUUGGGGGUUUUUAGUAAAUGAGGGUUUUGAUCUCAUUUAACUCCACAUUUCUCUAAUUGAAGGUUAGAGGUGAGUCCCCAACAACUUUAAGUUGAGAAUCGACGAGUGUUCGGUGAUCGUUUGCGAGUACGAGCCGAACCGGAUCACGUGUGCCGCAAGAGCCCGAUUGCAAGUGACUACAAGCAAUCAGAGAGCAAUAUUAGGUGGGUUGUGCUUCACCGAAGUGAUUAGGUCACUUCCAAGCCAAAGUGAAGUAUGAAUGUUAUUGAUGCAUGUAUAGUUGGUAGGUUGUACUUGAUAAUAUGAAUGUGUAAAUCAUAUUAUGCUUGAUGUUGUUACCUACCAUGAGAUGCUAUAUGAAUGCAUGAUGUGGAGGCUAAUCAAGAAUGCAUGAGAUAGAUGUUAGUGAUGAACACAUGAGAUACAUGCUAAGUGGAUACAUGAGCUAGAUGCUAAAUGAAUGCCUAGAGUAUAUGCUAAGUGAAUAUAUGAGUUAAAUGCUAGAUAUAUGUAUAAGAUGGUAUCAAAGUAUAAAAAGAACAAUAAAAAAAAUAAUAGAAAUGAUUUAGCUUGACCUAGGAGACCCUAGAAUAGUAAACCAUGGAAGCUAAGGCUCGUGAGAGACGAGGACUUGUAACUUGUGGCGAAAGAUUGAUCGAUUGGGUCAAGUUAGUAAACCUCUAAAACGGAUGUUAGAGGGGGAUUCAAGGUUCAGUUUAUUCUCAGCUGAGGGUGUUCAUAUUGGAUGCAUACAACAUGAAACCGAGUAAUGAGAAUAGAUGCCCUUGCGUGACUUUCGCCUGAUUUGAGUUGAUGUUAAUUGUUUCGUGCUCGACCUAAAAGGUUGAAAAUUAAUUGAGUUGUCAUGUUUCAGGAAACGAUGGCACCGCGUAAGCGAUCUUCAGCUAGAUCAACGUGGGAUGGGACAGGUGAUGUCCCUAAGCAAUCUGAGGCGAGCGGAGACUUGGAACUUCACGAACAGUUGGCCAUACUUGUGGGUGUGGUGAGGGAACGAGCCGAUGUGGUGCAGCGACAGCAGGAGGCUACUAUGCGCCAGGAGAAACGGAUCAAGAGACUCCAGGAGACCGUGGAGCAGCUAGUGGCUGCGCCAGUUGCGGCUCGUCGAGGACGGCCGGGAGUUGCGGCGGAGAUCUCUCCGUCGGGGUCGGGUGAUCCGACUCCCGAAAGUGCAUUAGUGGAGGCGGAGAGGGAGCGAGCUUUGGUGGCCCUUAUGACUUUUAAGAAGUUCGAUCCGCCUACCUUUGAUGGAGAGAGUCUAGAUCCGUAGGUCAUGGAAAUGUGGAUCGACUCCAUGGAGACUCUCUUUGAGGAUCUGCAUGUCUUGGGAAAGGUAACCCUAGCUAUGCACUGUUUGAAGCAGUCGGCAAAGUGGUGAUGAAAAGACAAGAAUGUUGUAAUAUACCGAAACUUUAGUAGAGUACUCCGGACUUUAGCCAAAUUGACUAAAGUGUCCGAAAGAAAAAGAUGGACGAAGUCCAUUUGGCAUUCCAACAAUGUUGGAAGGGUCAAAGUUGAGUUCUAAAAGAGUUAAGCAAGAGUUAGCAUUGCUCGGCGCGAAGAAGUGCUGGAGCACUGCCAGGACAUAAGUCUGGGCACUACGUACCGGUACCAGGUCAGGUGGUACCAGUACCAGGCCAGCAACCCGAGAGGAGUAGCUCUCGGGUUUGGCUGUUGCGCGACAGUGUACCGGUACCCGAUGAGGGUGGUACCGGUACCAGACCAGCAACCCGAGAAUAGUAGCUCUCGGGUUUGGCUGCUGGAUAGGGGUGUACCGGUACCAAUUGAUGGUGGUACCGGUACCAGGUGGCCUUUGCAGCAGACUGAAGUCUGCUGCAAAUCUGAGUUGAUAGGGGGCCUUUUUGUAAUUGUUACAACAUAUAAACACCCCAACACCUCUCCCCUCUCUCUCCUACAGUUAUUGCACCUCUCUUCUUUCAUUUCUCUCUUUCUUUCCCUAGAGAUCACUCCAAGGAGCUAAGAGGGAGGAUAGGAGAAGGGAUUUUAAGGAGAUUUCUUGAGUUUUGGAGGCAUGGGAACUCUCCUACAAGGUGGACUUUGGAGAGCUUAGGGCAAAGGUAAGGAUUUCAUGUAAGAUCUAGGUUAGGGCUUGGAUUUUAUGCCCUAAAUCUUUGGAUUUGAGUUUCUUACAUGUGUGGAAUCCUUCUAGAAGCCAUGAAACACAUGGAAAUCAAGUUUCCUUCAUGUGCUCUCAUGGUGAAUUUCUAGGGUUUGGUUUAUAUGCCCUAGAAAUGGUUGAAAAGGCUUAGAAAAGGUUCUAAAUAAGUUUCUAGAGGUUUAGUAAACUUGCUUUUGUUUGUUCUAGAGAUCAAAUCUAAGGAUUGAGCAAAUGUCAUAUUAGAUGGGCAUCCCAAAGAGAGGUUUUGCUCAAGUGGGGUUUUGAUCUAAUUUGAUCAUGUAUAAACCUUAUUAGGGGUCUAACGAAUGCGUUGGUGCGCUCGUUCGACAAUCGACGAGUGUAAGCAAAGAUAUUGACAAAACAUUAUUUUCGUACAGAUUGCCGCAGCACGCGGAAUAGGCGUCUAAAAAUCCCAAGAAUGAGCGUGUAGCAUCCUUAUAACUAUCUAAGGUGGGUGGUGCUUUCCGAAAUCGAUGGAUUUCUCUUAUGUCUAAAGUGUCAUUUGAGCAUAUGUGUUUAUAUAUUGUUCAUGCAUAGUAGGUGAUGUGAGUAUAUUUGAUUGCAUCUUUGAGUAUAAGAUGCAUAUAAAAUGUUGUAAAUUCUUGAGAACGUAUGGAACCCUAUGUAUGCAUGUGUAGUGACAAAGACUAAAAAGGUAAAAGGGUAAGAUACAUUAAUGACAUAUGGAUUGGGUGGCAUUAGUAAAUGUCAAGUAUGCAUGAGAACACUUAGUGUUAUGUGUUGGCAUUAGUAAACAAAUGAAUGCUAGGAUUGGACUCUUAGUCGAGUGGCAUCAUGAAAAGUAAAGAAUGCAAGUAAAGGAUAUAGUUGAAUAUUAGACAUAGCAACUUAGAGUUAAGGGUCAUAUGAGCAUUGCAUCCUCAUUGUGAGGAUUGGUAUUGAACUUGGAAUCCUUAAAGUUAAGGAUUGAUUGUACUAACCCAUUAGUUUUGGUCGAGGGCGUAUGUCACGGCACAAAGAUUUUCUCCGCGAUUUCGCUUUGCAAUCACCUGAACUCCAAAGCGGACAUCUGACGGAGGUUUUGGCUUGGAACCUUCUGGAAGCUUCUACGUGGAUCUCGAGGCUGAUUGGCGCGGAUGCCGAGGAGUCAAGAGUCCCUUGGGGUUUCUAGGUAGCCAUUAAUGUACUUAGAGUUUCUAUGCAUAUUUAUUAUGACUCUUGGGAGACCGUAGCGUACUUAUUGGCCUCCCCUUUUGGCUUGUAGUUUCAUGCCACUUGGCAUCUUAUCAUUUGCUUUAUGGGCGGCGAGUGGCCUAUAUAUAGUGUGGCCUCCACCCCUCUCAUUUCAGAAUCUACUAUUGUAUUCUCCAAGUUGAAGUAAUAGAAGAGCUUUCUUCUUAUCUCUCUCUUGUACUUAGUCUAGGGCGAGUGAGGUCCUAACUUAGCAAGUAGAGAGGCAGGCUUGCUCACUUCGCGAAGGAAGGCGAGCGCCGCACGGGCUUUUGCGAGCAAAUUCGUUAAGUCCGUGACAGUUGGUAUCAGAGCCGGUUCGAGUAGGAGCCAUGUCGUCAUCAGAGGCCGCUGCUGGCGACGUUGGGGGUGAUGGCCCCAAGCAACCCUCCAAGCGGGGCAAGGGCAAGGACACGCGAAUCACGAAGGAUUCCGCGUCGGUCGAGGACCGCCUUGCGCUGUUGGAGGACAUUCUAUCGAAGGUGGGAGAAAGGUACACCGAGAUGGCCGAUACCUUUAACGCCUUCAAUGAAGAUGUUCGCAGUAUGGAGGAGAGUGUCGCCACUGCCAUGGCGACCUUUCGAGGCGAGCUUGAGAAGCUCCAAGACAACAUCACCCGUCGUGACGACGAACGGAAGAACUUGAUCGAGGAGCUAGUCACUCGAGUCGACGAGGUCGAGGACCUCAAGACGAGAGUGACUAUCCUUGAGAAGGCGGUGGCUCGAGGCGGUGAGACGCAGAAGGAGUACACCCCAAAGGUCCGCGUCCCUGAACCCCAAUGCUUCAAGGGAACGCGCGACGAGAAGGAGAUAGACAACUUCCUUUGGCACAUGGAGCGCUAUCUCAAGGCGCUGCGGAUCGAGGACGAGGAGGACAAGGUCCAGACCGCUUCCAUGUACCUCACCGACGACGCGAUGCUGUGGUGGCGUCGGCGUUCUGCAGAAGCCGAGAAGGGCCAAUGCAAACUGGAUACUUGGGAGGACUUCGUGCGCGAACUCAAGGCACAGUUCUACCCCGAGCACGUCGAAUACUUGGCGCGGAGGCAACUUCGACGGCUCAAGCACACAGGAUCCCUCAAGGAGUAUGUCAAGGAGUACUCCAAACUGAUGCUUGCCAUCACCAGCAUGGCCGAGGAGGAUCGGCUGUUCUUCUUCCUCGACGGUCUCCAACCGUGGGCUAACAAGGAGCUCGUGGCGAGAGACGUCAAGGACGUGAGCUCCGCUAUCGCUCAAGCGGAGAAGCUGCUGGAGUAUGACAAGCCAGACUUCGCUCGUGGCAAACCACCUAAGGCGGGCAAGGCCAAGGGUGGGGGAGACCGCCGCGAGCAGCGUGAUCACAAGGGCCAAGAGCGAAGAGGCCCUCCGCAGAAGAAGAAGAUCUCUUGCUAUGUCUGCGGGGGUGAUCACUGGGCGAGAGAUUGCCCAAAGAAGAAGACCGUCAACGCCAUCCAAGCUGAGGAGAGCGAGGAACAAGCGGAGACGAAGAUGGGCGCGCUACGACUCGUCAGCGCGAUCCAGGGGCAGGCGAGCAGCAAACCGCUCAAGAAGGAGCUGCUGUUCGUGGACGUGACCCUCAACGGGAGGGCCACUCGAGCGCUCGUGGACACUGGGGCGACCCACAACUUCAUCGCCGAGUCUGAGGCCAAACGGCUGGGCCUCACACUCGAGAAGGACACGAGCAAGAUCAAGGCUGUCAACUCGGUGGCACAGCCUGUCGUGGGAGUAGCCAAAGGGGUGACGAUCGCUGUAGGACCCUGGUCGGGUACAGCGAACUUCACCGCCGCGACCAUCGACGACUUCAAAGUCAUUCUCGGCAUCGACUUUCUAGCUUCAUCGAAAGCGGUCCCGAUGCCGCAUCUCGGGGCCUUGAGCAUCAUGGAGGAGGCAGCCCCGUGCAUGGUCUUGGCUAGCCGCAGCGAGCCAGCGGCAACCCACACCCUCUCCGCUCUGCAACUGCGGAAGGGGGUAAAGCGCGGAGAGAUCACUUAUCUUGCGGCCAUCCGCGAGGUGAGCGACGAGGACCUCGAGGAGGAGGACCAUCCAGCGGUGAUCGAUGCAGUCCUGGGGGAGUUCAAGGACGUCAUGCCCCAGGAGUUGCCCAAGAGACUUCCACCAAGGCGGGAGGUGGACCAUGCGAUCGAGCUCGAGCCAGGAGCAAAGCCACCAGCAAAGGCACCAUACCGCAUGGCCCCGCCAGAGCUCGAGGAGUUGCAGCGUCAACUGAAGGACCUCCUCGAUGCGGGCUUCAUCAGGCCGUCGAAGGCACCCUACGGAGCACCAGUCUUGUUCCAAAGGAAGAGCGACGGAAGCCUGCGGCUCUGUAUUGACUACAGAGCGCUCAACAAGGUGACGGUAAAGAACAAGUACCCUAUUCCUCUUGUUGCUGACUUGUUUGACCAGCUUGGCGGAGCGAAGUUCUUCACCAAAUUGGACCUUCGCUCGGGGUACUACCAAGUCAGGAUCGCGGAGGGCGAUGAGGAGAAAACGGCAUGUGUGACGAGGUAUGGAGCCUACGAGUUCCUCGUCAUGCCAUUCGGCCUGACGAAUGCGCCGGCGACCUUCUGCACCCUGAUGAACAAGCUAUUCCACCCCUACCUCGAUCGCUUCGUGGUAGUGUACCUCGACGACAUCGUCGUGUACAGCAACACUCUGGAGGAGCACGUCGAGCAUCUGCGGACGAUCUUCCAAGUGCUGCGGGAGAACCAACUCUAUGUCAAAAGGGAGAAGUGCUCCUUUGCGAAGGAGGAGGUGCACUUCCUUGGCCACUGGAUCGGCCGAGGACAACUCCACAUGGACCAGCAGAAAGUGCGGGCGAUCUGCGAGUGGGAAGCGCCCACGACGGUGUCCGAGCUGCGAUCCUUUCUCGGACUCGUCAACUACUAUCGCCGCUUCAUCGCGGGCUACUCUGCUCGAGCGGCCCCUUUGACGGAUCUGCUGAAGAAGACCCAGUCAUGGGACUGGACCCCUCGAUGCGCGGAGGCAUUCGAGGACUUAAAACGGGCGGUGACGGAGGAUCCGGUGUUGCGGCUUCCCGACUGCAGCCGUCCAUUCGAGGUACAUACUGACGCCUCGGACUUUGCCAUUGGUGGUGUUCUCGUGCAGGACGGACACCCCAUCGCCUAUGAGAGCCGCAAGCUCAACGACACCGAGCGGCGGUACACGGUGCAGGAGAAGGAGAUGACCGCUGUGGUGCACUGCCUCAGGACCUGGCGGCACUAUCUCCUUGGAAGCAAGUUCGUGGUGCGGACGGACAAUGUCGCGACGAGCUACUUCCUUACUCAGAAGAAGCUGUCACCCAAGCAGGCGAGGUGGCAGGACUUCCUGGCGGAGUUCGACAUGGAGCUCUCGUACAAACCCGGGAAGGAGAACCAAGUGGCUGACGCACUCAGCCGCAAGGCGGAACUGGCAGCGGUGUGCCAGAUCCAAGGCGCGAUCAGGGAGCGAAUCCGCGAAGGGACUUGCGAAGACCCUGUGGCCCAAGGACUCGUGCGACUCGUCAAGGAGGGCAAGGCGCAGCGGUUCUGGCUUAGCGAUGGGCUGCUCCUGACCAAGGGGCGUCGCGUCUAUGUGCCCAGGUGGGGCAAUCUUCGUCGCGAGCUCAUGAAGGAGUGUCAUGACUCCAAUUGGGCCGGACAUCCAGGACAGAAGCGGACGAUGGCGCUGCUCGAGGCCGCCUACUAUUGGCCUCGCAUGCACGACGACGUGGAGGCGUACGUGCGGACUUGCCUUGUGUGCCAGCAAGACAAGGUGGAGCGCCAGAAGCCUGGGGGCCUCCUCGAGCCCCUGCCUACACCGACGCGUCCGUGGGAGAGCAUUUCCAUGGACUUCAUCUCCGCCUUGCCCAAGGUGGGGACGUUGGGGUCCAUCCUCGUGGUGGUGGACCGAUUCUCCAAGUACGGGACUUUCAUCGCGGCACCAGCGGAUUGCACGGCGGAAGAAGCGGCGCGGCUCUUCGUCAGCAAUGUGGUGAAGCUUUGGGGCAUCCCCGAAAGCAUUGUGAGUGACCGAGACCCUAGGUUUACGGGCAAGUUCUGGACAGAGGUGUUCCGGAUCUUGGGGUCGGAGUUGCUCUUUUCCACCAGUUUUCACCCACAGACGGACGGCCAGACGGAGCGGGUGAAUGCCUUACUGGAGGAGUACCUGCGGCACUAUGUCAGUGCCAACCAGAAGGAUUGGGUGCAUCAUCUGGAUGUGGCCCAGUUCUCCUACAACUUGCGGCGGAGCGAGUCAACCAACCUCAGCCCGUUCGAGCUGGCAACGGGGAGGCAACCACUCACUCCGCAUUCUGCUGCUGCGGGCGAGCAGGGCCGCAGCCCAAUGGCUCUCCAAUUCACUUCUCAUUUGCAGGAGAAGGGGGACAUUGCGAGAGCCUAUCUCGAGAAGGCGGCCCGCCGAAUGAAAAAGUGGGCCGAUGCAAAGCGGCGACCCUUGGAGUUUGCCGAGGGAGAUCGAGUGUUGAUCAAGCUGCAACCUCAACAGUUCAAGGCUUUUCGCAAAGUGCACCGUGGGCUUUUGCGAAAGUACGAGGGGCCUUUCACUGUCAUCAAGCGAGCGGGCAAGGCAGCCUACAAACUGCAACUCCCCGCCAACCUGAAGAUUCAUCCUGUCUUUCAUGCUAGUUGCCUGCGGCCCUACCAUGAAGACGCUGAGGACCCGAGCCGGGGCGUGUCGCAGCGCGCUCCCGCCACUAUGACCACUGCAAUCGACAAGGAGGUCGAAGCCUUGCUGGACACUCGCACCAUUCGGCGUCGCGGAGUCCCGAGGAGCGUCGAGUACCUUGUCAAGUGGAAGAAUCUCCCGCAUGGCGAGGCAAGCUGGGAGAAGGCUGACACUCUCUGGAAGUAUCAGAAGCUGAUCGAUGACUUCCAACACCAGCGCGCGACGAGGGCGUCUGCGCAAUAGGUGGGGGAGGUUGUCACGACACAAAGAUUUUCUCCGCGAUUUCGCUUUGCAAUCACCCGAACUCCAAAGCGGACAUCUGACGGAGGUUUUGGCUUGGAACCUUCUGGAAGCUUCUACGUGGAUCUCGAGGCUGAUUGGCGCGGAUGCCGAGGAGUCAAGAGUCCCUUGGGGUUUCUAGGUAGCCAUUAAUGUACUUAGAGUUUCUAUGCAUAUUUAUUAUGACUCUUGGGAGACCGUAGCGUACUUAUUGGCCUCCCCUUUUGGCUUGUAGUUUCAUGCCACUUGGCAUCUUAUCAUUUGCUUUAUGGGCGGCGAGUGGCCUAUAUAUAGUGUGGCCUCCACCCCUCUCAUUUCAGAAUCUACUAUUGUAUUCUCCAAGUUGAAGUAAUAGAAGAGCUUUCUUCUUAUCUCUCUCUUGUACUUAGUCUAGGGCGAGUGAGGUCCUAACUUAGCAAGUAGAGAGGCAGGCUUGCUCACUUCGCGAAGGAAGGCGAGCGCCGCACGGGCUUUUGCGAGCAAAUUCGUUAAGUCCGUGACAGGUAGCUCCCUCUCGGGCGAUGAGCUCUGGAGUAGUCAUCACUGGGUUGUAGCGAGUAUCUUUCCAGAGGACGGUCCCGUCGGGUCGUAGCGAGUAUCUCCCCGAUAGUAGAGAUUUGGGUUGGUGAGUUUGUUGAGGGCGAAACCUACGGGUUAGCCAAGAGAUUGGGCAAUGGAAUUAUGAUUUUGCAUUCAUCAUGAGCAUUCUUUUGAGCAUAGCAUUGUAUAUAUUGUUCAGGCAUAUUAGCUGCAUUUGUUAGUUGGUUGCUAUCUAUCUAUUCUUCUAUUAUGCUUGAUUUAGACCUAGUGGGAAAGUCGGCGAGGUCGGCGGCCGAACCCACUGGAAACUUUGUUGUAGUUCUCACCCUACUAUUUCCACAGAGCCGGGACAGAGCGAGCCGGCGGAUGAUCGCGGUAAGGGUAUCGCGCUAUAGCUAGAGACCACCCGAGUUGGUUUCACAUUUUGGUUUAGUUGCACUACCCCUUUUAUAUCAUUUUUUGUAUUUUGAUGAUUAUAGAUAUUUAAAUAAAAGAACAUGAAUGAUGUAAAAGAAUUUAUAUGUGAUGUAUAAAAGAGAUGAUGCAAAGAAUGUAAAGAAAUUUUAUUAGAGUUGAAUGCAUGUAUGUGAUUUAAACUUAAUCAUAUUACUUGUAUGUUGAUCAAAUAGUACUUUCACUUUGGCUAUUGCUUGCCCUCGUACAAGCCAUUAUGAAUGCUUCCGCAUGUGCAAAUUUUAUACUCUAUUUGUACUUGUUGUUGAGCCUUGGGCGGACAGGGGGGGCUUUGUCCGUUCAGUGUCUGUUCAGCGGGUCCGAUCGGGUCAAAUAGGACCGGGUUCGGGGCGUGACAAAUGUAAUAACUUGUAAGAACUUGAUUGUAUUUGGAAGUAAGAAUCAAAGAAUUAAAAAUGUAAUAUGUGAUGUAAAUGUUAAACUGGGAUGAAUGCUUAUAAUAGCAUAGAUGUAUUUAUGUUUUUGAUACUUUCCUUACGCAAUCUUUGUUGUAUGUUGUUCCUGGUUGGAAGCUCGCGCAUUGUAUGGAUUGUGACGCCUUGGACGUACAGGGGAGACUCUGUCCGCGGUACAGGAGAAACCCUGUCCGUUCUGCGGUCUGUCGGUGUGCCCGAACCGACCAAAUAGGCGAGUUCGGGGCGUGACAAAAGAACUCCCUGCCGGAGGAAAGGAAGGUAUAUGAGCAAGAUCGGGAGAAGCUGAUAGAGGAAACAUGGUUGUACGACUUGAAAAAGAUGGUCUAGGAGGGAAACUUGCACUUGCUGCUGGGAAGGAUGAUGGUCCAGGAGCAAAAUAUGAUGCUGCUGUUGGAAGAAGGGUGCAGUUGGUAGGAAAGAUGGCGCAACAGAUCGUAGACCAGUGAAAAGCUGAUGCAUGGCAAUUUGACGAUCUAUCCACAUAUAUAACAGAUCGCCAUUCAAUGCCAUGAAAAUUGGCCUAUUGCGCCUAUCUUUUAGAGCUUCACAAACAACAAGUACACCAUCAGGAGACAAUUGAGCGACAUUGCUCAGCCUUUCCAUACACUCCUCUAUAGAGUGAAUUUUGGGUCUUGCUUGUAACUCACGUUGUUUUAUAGUUAGUGCAAUUUUCGUUCUUUUCUUUCCCAAUUCAACAAGCUCAUAAAUUGCUUCCGUUCGACCAUCAUCCUUACGUCUACGGGUUGAAGAUAGUGUAAGGAUUGGUGGGUGAGACCUAUAGCCUCUUCAUUGAUGAAGUGUGGCCAGAAGCACUACCAGUAUAUUGGCUACUGACUUUAUUUAAAGUUGGUAUUGGAGACGUUAAAUUUGCAUCAUUAGCAUCAUCUAAAUUCUAUGCUAGAUUCUCCAUGUUGAGCGCAACCGGAGAUGAUAAAGAGGUGCUAUGAACAUCCUCAUCCAUGUUGGAAGUAAACUCAUGCUUCCCGGUUGUAAUUGCCUUUCCCGACAAAAACUCAAUAGAUUGAUACAUGCAGGAAAAGCCUUGUCCCUACACUUAGCAUAUGCUGAAUUUUUCUACAAAUGUGAAAAUCAUUGAUGAUAAGUUAAUAAACUCUAUGUAAAAAAAAAAAAAAAACAACUUAUAUAAAAAUAUGAGCAAAAAAAAAAACUUACCGCUAUGAUAGUAUCCCAAUCAGCAGGGUCACCAGUAGUGGGAAUGUUUUGGGUGUAGUCCCACCCCCAUCCACUUUUGUUCGCUAGAGUUUGAUACAUCAAAUAUUGGCACUUCAAGACUUUCAACCGAUUUUGCAAAUUGAUUUUGUUAAAGCUCAAUUUUGUCCUCUCAUUGAAAUCGUGAACCAUUCGAGUCCAUGCUAAUGGGGUAAAGCUCCCAUUAACAAAAUUACCAAGAGCAUGCUCCUUAGUUAUUAAGUUCAACAUUACUGAGUCCAUUUUUUAUGUCCAGUUCGAGGAUCUUACUGGAGUUUUCGAUGGUUCCUGAGGUGCCCCAUUUAAACUUUGACCAUCAGCAGAGGGAGCAUCAAAGCCUUUGUUUUUCAACGGCUUUUUAAGAGGGCCCAUCUGGGAUGAACAAGUAUAGAAAUCAUAUUUGUAUUACAACAAAUAUAUAAUAUUGGUUUAGCACAAUAUUUGAGUGAUAUGUUAUUUUGUCAAAAUGCUCAGGGGAGAAGGUUACAUAUGAUUUCAUGACGGAUGCAAUAGUUUUUAAAAAACCAUGCCGCCCAUGCCAUGAAUAUAUAUAUCGUCUUUCCCUACAUCAUUACUAUUAUAUUUUUAAAAUCGUGCCUCAAACUGAGGUGCAUUAGAUCAAGAUAUAGCUAGCCGCUUUCAAUUCAUUAUAUGAUCUCUUUGCAAUCUUACAUUGAGUUAUGUUCAGGUGAAAGUAAUUUUAGCUUCAAAGUUUCUUCAAAUCGAAAGAUCAAAAUUGUAUAAAAAAAUAUAAAAACUGUAUGAUGCAGUCAUAAAGUAUGAUCAGCAAUACAUGGGUGCUGUCAUAAAUUAUGGCAAUAGAAAAAUAAAUAAUCAAUCAUAAAUAAGGAUGCAAAGUUUUUGUAUAUCAAAUUAAUCUUUAAAGUGAUAAUCAUACAAAAUUCAAAAACUGUGGGUUUGUAAAAUACCUUCAAAUUGUUUAAAAAAAUGAGAUUUAACAGCAUGCGAGCAAAAGUGAAAGACAGAUCAACAAUAGGCCAGAAAAUUGGGGUAAAAUCUAUAAAACCUCACCUCGACGAGAUUAAUAGAACGUAGAAAUAAUCAAGAGUGAACUUCUACACCAGCACAGAUAUAGUAUAGUAGCAAAGAUUAGGUUCCAAGCAAGAUGCAAAAAAAAAACCAGUACCUUUGAAUCCCACUCAAAUUUAUAGACGAAAGGGGGCACGAAUAGUCCAUGCCUUCUACCUGCAAGGCUAGUGGUCGCACUAAAUGGGCGACUUGACAAACAGGGCAUACAUCUAGCAGAACGCACCUCGAUUUCUUGCCUCAGAAGCCCACAAAAGAGUUUGAGCGAAGCAAAAACCCAUUUAUGCCAGUCAAAUUCGAGGGUUUGAGAGAGGGGUUAGCAAUGAAAAUGGAUCUCGACUGGGAUCUUCCUCAGAGACUGCGAGAGGAGUAUGGAAGAAGAAAGUAAUAGGAAAGAGGAGUUACCGAUGAACGCAGAUCUGAUACGAGACCUUGCUCACUGAUUAUGCCCACUGCGAAAUGAUAAGAGAGGCAUAGAGCGACGGAUUUUGCUCGCCCAACACGAGGGGGAAGAAGAUCGGCAGAGUAAUGAGCGAAGGGAGAAGUAGGUGAAGAGCAUUAACAAAGAAGAAAGCAAAGGGGCCUCGCCUUUUUUCCAACCCUUGCCCCUGGGAUAAACCAGCGGAAAUGCCUUAUUCCGCUGGUCCCAUGGGAUAGCUCUUAACGGGUUAUCCUUGGAUAACCCAUUAAGAGCGGGAUAAAUUAUCCCACCAAAAAAAGGCUCUAUUUGGAUGGUUUGGCAGGAUAAAAUAGUCUAAACCCACUUUAUCCUGCCAACCAAACAGGGCCCUAGAGUAUAGAGUUUAAGAAACCAACAAAUUUCAACUAUAAGGUUAACAUGGCAACAAAAUAAAAGAAACUUAACAAAAAGAAAAGUAAACUAAAGAAAUUUAGCAACAACCUUAUGGUUUAACUCUAAAUUUCCUCUUCCCAAACCUUUCUUAUCUAAUAAGCCCUAUAUUCAUCCUUCAAUGGAAGUCAAGCCUCACGAUUUUUUUUCUUUCUUUGGAACACUCUUAAAGCUUUAAACAUCUCGUCUACGGUCUAUGAAUCAAGUAACGCAUAAAACAUCUCCAUACAUUUAUCAACUGAAUAUUUAUCAUCAUGAUAACCUUUUGUUUGAGGUUCUGCUACGGUGAUAAUGGCUUUAACAAUUUUUAUCAUCACCCAUUUCCUUUAUAAUUAGAUAAUCUCCUAUUUUAUCAACAUUUUCACUUUUUUGUUUUCUUUUUCUACAACUUGACGUAGUCUUGGCUUCUCCUUGAGUUUGUGUUUGUGAUUGUGAGGGUGGAGGCACCUGAACUAGGUGGGGUAUAUCACUUGGCGAAGGUAUUUGAGCUGACAAAUUGACCUUUUGAGUCUCUUCAACAUGUUUAUCAAAAUCCUCUCCGACACCUGGAAUUGUGGCUAAUGGAGACUCCGGUUGUGAUGACAGAUCAAUCUAGGGUGAUGACAGAUCAAUCUAGGAGGCCGACGAUGAACCUCUAGAGAGAUUAUUAUGAUACUCACAUCCACGAGCAUGUUUACUUUCUACGUAUGUGCCUUCAAUAUAUAAAGAUGAAGUACAUAUGAAUACUAAUUCUAUAAAAGAAAAAAAUAAACAAAAAUAUAUCUAUACCAUACCUUCAUAAAUAUCAUAGAGUGCUUCAUAUCAUGGAAAGGGCUUGUUGUGCCAUUUCCGAAGUUCUUUGUUAGUCUUCAAAAAAUAAAAAAAAAAUUUGCUAGAAUUGAAAAUAUAUAUAUAUAUAUAUAUAUAUAUAUAUAUAUAUAUAUAUAUAUAUAUAUAUAUAUAUAUAUAUAUAUAUAAAAUCAAUGUUUACUAUGUGAUACUCACAUUAAUCAACGGCUCCCAAACCUCUGAUGGAGCAAAAACCAUUUAUUUGUCUCCGUCCCAACCAAAGCCACUCAACUCUACUAAGCUUUUCACAACUAUAAAUUACUUCUUCAAUUGUUGUGCUCUUUAUCUUUCACUUGUUCUACUGUACAAUUGGCAUUUUCAAAAUAAUCUCCAAUCUAAAGGCCUUAUGCAUAAGGAAUACAGAUACCAAACACUCCAUAUAAUCCACAAUUCUUAAGGACUUAAAUAUGAGGUAUAGUAUAACAUGACUCGUUUAAUGCAGGGUCUACUCGAAACACAAUUCAAGCUACGAUUACUCCUUUUCGCAUGCCAAUAUGUCGAAUUGACGAGUAUAUUAACAAUUUGAGAAAGAUAAGUAACUCAUUACAUGAGGAACGAAUUCAUAUAUUCAAGCUCAAGUUAAGCUAGAGUGCCGAGUUCACACAAUUUGGACAUGUAAUGCCAGAAUUAACAAUUUAGUAUACUUGAAUUAAAUGAUUUUUGUUACAUAAUAGCUGCAACUACCUACAAAUAUGCAAGUGUUUCAAUCAUUUGAACAAGAAUCCAUUUACAGGUUGUUCUAUGGAAAUGCAAGAAGAAGCAAUACCUAUAAAUAUUAAGUAAAUUAAAAAUUUGCAUGUUAAGCAAAUAGUUUGAUAUUUUUUAAUUAAUUCAAGCUUGUUUGGCCAAGCUUCAUGUUACAGAUAUUAGCUUUCUAGGAUGGAAGCUACUGGAAACCAAAAAAAAAAAAAAAAUGAAGAUUCCUUUAAAAUGAAACCUAUUGAAAAAAAAAAAAAAAUCUAAUCAUUCUUUUUUUACCUGUUGGAGAAGGAAAAUAGGGUCGUGCUUCUCCAACCAUCGCAAGGCAAGGAGCGAGAGAAGAUCGAGGAAAAAAAAUGGCGGCCGAGGUUAGUGUCACGGCGACGGCCGAGGUUAGUGCCGUGGCGGCAGCCGAGGUGACCAUGAUUGCAGUGGCAGUAGCGGCGGCGCCCGAGAUGAGUGCGGCAGUGGUGGUGGCCGAGAUGAGUGCCGCGGUGGCGGCUGAGGUGAGAGCGGCGGCAGCGAUGGGAGGAAGCUCUAGUUGGGAGUUGUAGAGAGGGCAACGAGAGGGAGAGAGAUGAGAGGAAGUCAGGCGAGUUGGGUAGGCGGCCCAAAAAAUAGCAUAAGUUUUUUAGAGAAAAUAGUAGAUUUUACUUUUACCUUACUUUUAAGAAUAUAGUUUAACUAUAACCUAUUUUGUUAGUGUGUUUUUGAAUCAUCCAAACACCUCUUAGAAAAUUUUUCCUACACCCAUAACAUAGAUAUACUAAACUCCAAAAAAAUGAGCAUCCAAACAGACCCUAAAUAUGUCAUCACAUUCCUUAUCAACCGAACGUAUAAAUUUCUUGAAUAAAUCAAAAGGAUAUACCGAAUAAGAUAUUCAUAGAUUCAAAACAGAUUAGAGACUAGAUUUGAGAUUUGAGAUUUGAGAGUAGGCAAACAAUAAAUAUCAAAAACAUCAUAUUUGAGAUCUGUAAAACAUAACUGCAAAAAAGAAGCAUACAUUUCAAAGUUGCUCUUAAAUUGUGGAGACUGGCAAAGAUAGGGGUAUCAUGUAACUCCUACGAAUCAAUAUAGUAUCAUAUUAAAAGAACACAAAUUUCAACUAAGAAAAGGUUAAUACUAAAAUAAAUAAAUAGAUCUAACAAUUGCUUUUUCAAUGUUUUCGUCACAAUCAAAAUAAUAAUAAAAGCAUAACCAUAUAUGCGACAGUUCGUCAAUCACUUGGAGCAUCGUUUACCCUACUAUAUAUUUUUUUUGUAGGGCAAAAAAUGGAGAAGCAUUUACAUAUAUAUCUAAGCCAAAAAAAAAAGGAAAUAUUCCAACAAAAUCAUUUAUCUACAUAUAUUUUUUUGUAUGAGUAAGGGUACAAAUGUAAGAAAUUAAGCUUUGAAAAUGUCUAUAUGAUACAAAUGUACAUAUAUAAUUUUGCAAAAAUAGAUAUGAAAAUAUGGGCUGGGGCUACUAUACUCAUAUGAGUAUAGAGCCCUUUGUACUCAUAACUUUUCGACCGUUUGGAUGAAAAAUGUGUGGUUAGGAUGUACGGUUAGGUUGAUAGUGGGCCCCCUAGGGUUGAGUGGGUGGUUGGUUGAAUAGUAUAAUCUAACGGGUGAAAAUGAUUAAAAGGUAGAUCAAACGGCCAAAAAUUUAUGAGUACAAGAGGCUCUAUACUCAUAAGAGUAUAGUAGCUGGGCUCUGAAAAUAUGUCCACAAAAAAAAAAAAAAUAGAGAAUUAUCUCUAAUGAAUGACAAUAAGGGCAAUAUCGAUAUCAUCAUCAGUGCAGAAGUUAUCUUGUCAUAUGCAGGAUACCUUUGUUUCAAUGCGAGACCUCAGAUAGUCCUAUAUAUAAGAUAUAAUAGAGCUAAAAAUUUUUAACCCGGCUUAAGCAUUUUAGAUGAUGGCUAGGCCCAAGAGGUUAAAAGAGUUAAGCGUGCUGGGACGAGAGUAGUUCUAGGAUGGGUGACCCUCUGGGAAGUUGGGGCAUCAUAGUUGGUAUCAGAGCCAAUUACUAGCCAAAUGUAUGAGAUGAGUUUCGACAGAGUCAGGGUCAGAAUAACAAGGCUAGCAAGGCGAGUCUCACAUCGCCUGAUACUUAUGAGUCUGAACCUGACAAAGACGUUAGGACUUAAAGAGGGGAAGAAUGUGAGACCCAAGAUAGUCCUAUAUAUAAGAUAUAAUAAGGCUAAAAACUCUUAAUCCGACUUAAAUAUUUUGAGUGGUGGCUAGGCUUAAGAGGUUAAGAGAGUUAAGCAUGCUAGGACGAAAGUAGUCCUACGAUGUGUGACCCUCAAGAAAGUUGCGGCAUCAUAGUGGGUAUCAGAGUCAAUUACCAGCCGUUGUGAGACGAGUCUCGGCUGAGCCAGGGUCGGAAUGACAAGGCUAGCGAGAUGAGUCUCACAUUGCAUGGUACUUGUGAGUUUGAGUCUGACGAGGACGUCAGGACUUAAAGUGGAGGGGGGGGGGAAAUGUGAGACGCUAGAUAGUCCUAUAUAUAAGAUAUAAUAGGGCUAAAGACUCUUAAUCCGGCUUAAAGUGGUGGCUUGCAUUAAGCGGUUAAGAGAGUUAAGCGUGUUAGGAUGAGAAUAGUUAUAGGAUGGGUGACCCCCUAGGAAGUUGAGGCGUUACACAUAACUGUGACAUUAAAACUAAAACAAGAAGCAUGUAUUCUUUCUUGUGUCAUAGAAGCUGACCAGAUUGGACCACCAAGAUUGAAUUACUGUACAUAGUGAGUGCACAGUUAGGUGACGUUUCGUUGGAGUAUAAGGGAAUAACCCCUAUCCCACCCUUUGUGGGGGAAUAGGGGUGGGAACAGUUAUUUCCACCCCUAUUUAAUUUCUAAAAAAAUUUAAAUUUAAAAUUUAAAAUUUAAUUUUUAAAUUUUAAAAAUUUAUAAUUUGUAAUCUUAAAAUUAAAAUUUUAUAAUUUUAAAUUCUGAAUUGGCUAAAUUAUAUAAAACCCUCUUGUCAAAACCUGAUUUUUCACUUUUCCCUCUGUCAUUUAAAAACCUACACUUUGCCCCCUUGUUAAAUGAAAAAUGUUCACAGGGGGGUACGGUGUGUAAAAUGAUCAUUUUGCCCCUCACCAUUUUCGUCUCCUCCCUCAUCUUCCUCAACAGCAGCCUCAAUCGGCCGCGGUUUACGCCUCAAUCGGCUGUGGUUUCUCUCCAUUUUCUUCUCCACCUGCUCCCCUCUUCUCCUGCACCCUUGCCGCCCCUUAAUUUCGGCGACAGCAGGGUGGAAAUCGAGGUCGGGAUGGAUGGAGAGGUGGGUAAUGGCAACGAAGGCGAAGGCGAGGUGGCAGAGGAGGGCGAAGGGGUGUUUGUGGGCGUGGACGAGGAUGUGGGCGAGGGCGAGGCAGUGAAGGAGGGCGAGGCGGCGAGGCGGCGAAGUAAGGAAAAGGGCGGAGGGGCAUUUUUGGUAUAAAAAAAUAUUUUAUAACGGAAUCCUAACAGAUCACUAACGGUAGGGGGCAAAGUGCACAUUUUUUAUUUUACAAUGAGGCAAAGUGUAGGUUUUUAAAUGAUAGGGGGCGGAAAGUGAAAAAUCGUGUUUUGACAAGGGGGUUUUCUGUAAUUUAGCCUUCUAAAUUUUAAAUUUUAAAUUGAUAUUUUAAAAUUUUUAAAUAUAAAAUUUGAUAUUUUAGAUUUUUAAUUUUAGAUUUAAUCUUAAAUUUAAAAUAUAAAAUAUGCAAAUUAGAACUUUGAAUUUUUGAAUUUGAGAUUAAAAAAUUUAAAUUUAAUUUUAAAUUUUUGAAAUUUAAAAGUUAUAUAUUUAAAUUUAAAAAUUUAAAUAUAAAAUUUUAAAAUUUAAAUUCAAAUAUAAUAUAAGGGAUAAUAUUAUUAUUUUUUAUUUAUAACUACGCAUUAUUUUUCUUAUUCCAUCUUAUCUAUCUAUCCGAAUAUUAUUUUUCUUAUUCUAAAAAAUAACUUAAUUUUUAUCCUAACACAAAAUUAGUUUAUUUUAAAUUUAUAUUUAAAUUUAUACUUAUUUUUUAAAUAGAUAGUUGUUACUUGUAUCGGAAGCACACAAAAGAGUAAGCCUAUGCUAUUUGAUUGGUUAACAGAGACAAUUUUAAACCCAUCAUUUCACGUCCGACCAAAAGUAAUUAUUAUUAUUAUUAUUUUUUGAGAAAAAAAUUGUCUAUCCGCUUCAUUCAUUAAACGAAAUGAUCUAAACUUAUAAGAUAGAAGCAACCAAGACUUCCGAGGAAAAAGAAAAGAAAAAGCAAAGAUAAAAAAAAAAAGUAAAACGAUCGAAAAAUAAACAAACGAAAAUAGAAUGGUGUAAAAUGAGUAGUAGACUAUGCUUUAUUAUUAUUAUUUUUUUAACCGAAGGGUAGCAUGCUAUCUACUUUAUUUAUUAAGUAAAUAAAUUUAAAACGAAAAUAGGAUGGUGUGAAAUGAGUAGCACACUAUGCUUUAUUAUUAUUAUUAUUAUUUUGACAGAAGGGUAGCACGCUACCUGCUUUAUUUAUUAAGUAAGUAAAUAAAUUUAACUACAUAAAGUGAGACAGUUAAUUAGGACGUCAAGAAGGCCGAGAGUCAGCAAAAAAUAAAAAAACCAAAAAAAAAGAUGAUUAAUUAUGAUGAUAUUGAUAUUGAUAACUAUGGCCUAAAAAUGAAUAUAUGAUGAUUAAUUAUAACCAGGAAUAUAUUUAGCGGCUCUUCAGAAAUUUUUUUUUAAUUUUUUUUUCUUUUUUUUCUCCCGCUGGCCAAAUAGCAAGUAAGUAAUAAGAGCAUUAAAUCUCGUAUAUAUACAUAGGUACGUAGGUUCAAUGACUAAUAAUUUUGUCAUAAAGGAUUUCUUGUUNGUAAACUGCUGCUUUAAAAUGAAAAUUAUACUCUUUGAACGAAAAUUAUACUUUUUUGGGUAAUAUUUACACUGUUUCUAUUCUUAUUGCACUUUUUCAGAUGUAAACUGUAUUCAUUAAAAUGAAAAUUAUACUCUUUAAACGAAAGUUGCACUGUUUUUCUCUUGUUGCACCAUUUCUCCUCUUGUUAUACUAUUUUUUAUCUUAAACUGCACCAUUUUAAGAGAUAUUUAUAUUGUUUAUCCUCUUGUUGCACUGUUUCUCCUCUUGUUGCACCAUUUAUGUGUAAACAAGAGAAGAAAUAGUAUAACAAGAGGAGAAACUGCACUGUUUUAAGAGAUAUAUCUAUUGUUUCUUCUCUUGUUGCACUGUUUCUCCUCUUGUUGCACCAUUUCUGUGUAAACAAUAGGAGAAAUAGUACAACAAGAGGAGAAACAGUGCAAUAAGAGAAGAAACUGCACCCUUUUAAGAGAUAUUUAUACUGUUUCUUCUCUUGUUGCACCAUUUUUGUGUUAACAAGAGGAGAAAUAGUGCAACAAGAGAAGAAACAGUGCAACAAGAGGAGAAACAGUAUAAAUAUCGAUGCAAUUUAAGGUAAAAAAAUAGUAUAAUAAGAGAAAAAUAGUGCAACUUUCAUUUAAACAGUGUAAUUUUCAUCUUAAUGAUUACAGUUUACAUCUGAAAGAGUGCAAUAAGAAUAGAAACAGUGUAAACAUCUCCCAAAUAGCGUAAUUUUCGUUCAAAGAGUAUAAUUUUUAUCUUAAAGCAGCAGGUUUAUAUCUUAAAUAGUGCAGCUUAUAAUUUUUUUUGUAAUUAACGAUACAAUUUCAUCUUCAUCAUUCUUUUUAUAUAAUUUUUUAUCUUUAUUUUUUUCUAUUUUUUUUUAUAAUUUUUUUUUGUCACCUUCUCUGCCAACAGCUAAAGCGCCGGUGACGACGCCGCUAAGGACCCCUCGCUCCGAGGCUGUAGCGCCGCAGUGGCUUCUACGGUGUCGACGUCGGCGCCGGCGAAGAUAAAUCGUCGUCGGAGGCGGCAGAAAAUGAGGAAGAGGGAGAGAUGAGAAGGGCGGGGAAGGGCGAGAGAGGCGUGUCGUCGGAGACGGUAGAGAAGAGUCGGAGAAGAAAAGAAAAGAAAAAAAUAAAAAAAAAGAGUCGCGGCGCGGCCUUGGCAGGGUUGGAGGCGAGGAAGGUGGGGGAUGCAUGGACGAGGGCGAGGCAAGGGCGAGGGCGAGAGCAUGAGGGUGAGAGGCGAGACGGACCGUUUCUGCCUCCGCUCCGCCUCUGCUCUGCCGGCGAGAAAAAAAAAAAAACUAGAGAAACGAAAAAGAGAGAGAAAGAGGAAAGAGAAAAAGUAAAAAGGGUAUUUUAGUCAAUUUGCUGAAAAAGUGGACCGAAUCUGCAAAAAUAAAAAAAAUGGCCCGAUUUUACAAAAAUCCAAAAUAAAUGAAUUUUUUAUGCAAAUUGGCCAUUUUAAAAUUUAGAAAAUGAUCCCGUCAAAAUUUUAUUUGAAAAAAUAACCUUCCUUCCGCCACGUGGGCACACGUCGGAAUUUUACUAUAAAGACGGUGAAUGAUUCACCGCCUUCAUUAUGAAGGCGAUGAAUAUAUAUAUAUGAAAGCGGUGAAUUAUUUACCGCCUUUAGUACAAAACACUUUAAAUUUAUCGAAAUUUAUCUAAAUCCUAGAGUGAAAAAUAGAUAAGACGGUGAAUGUGAAUCAUUCACCACUUUCAUUAUAUAUAUGUGAAGGUGGGCGGUGAAUUAUUUAUCAUUUUUAUAGCAAAAUUCUGACGUGGCAAAAGAAAGAUUAAUUUUUCAAAUAAAAUUUUGAUAAAAUUAUUUUGCCAAUUUCGAAUUUUUGGAAGUUCAUUUUAUUUUAUAAAAAAAGCCCACAGACAAACCCCACUUCGCCCCCGCUCUCCUGCUUCCUCCAAACACGCUCUCUCUCUCUCUCUCUCUCUCUCUCUCCCCUCCUCUUCGUGCGCUCCUCUCUCAUCGCAGUUCUGUCGGGUCGGGAUCGGGUCGGGUGAGUCAAAUAUCCAAUCGCUGGAUCUCCGAUCACUAUUCCUGCUCCACUCUUCUCCAUUCCGAUCUCUUCUUCUACUGUUUCUUGUUUAAUUUUUUUUUAAAUUUUUUUGAGCAAUUUCAAUUUAUUACAGCUAGAUCUAAUCAGUGAGAAGGGAAGGGAGAUGGCGUGAACUGCAGCAAGCACAGAACGGCAUCGAUGCGGCGCCUUCAGUCGGAUGAGAUGGUUUCUCUUCUCAUCGCGACAACCGAAUUGUCGGAAGAAAGCUGUAUAAAAUUUCUGCUAUGAGGAAAAAUCUGGGCGGCGGCAGCAUCCAUCUGGGGCCGUCGGCGAGGGCUUUCAGCGACAGAAGGUGGCUUCUCCCCUUCUUCACCCUCUUCCUCGCCACGAUCUUCGGCCUUUUCUCGCCGCCGCAGGGCGCCGGCGACUCCCUCCUGCUGGAUCUGGAUGUAGCUUCUCUUGCCAACUUCGAUGACGCCGACGGGUACUUUGCGGCGUCGGAGGCCAGGAGGAGCGCGCUGCCGCUGCCGCUGCCGCUGCCGCUCGUGGACGAGGAAGCGCCGCGAAUUGCUUACCUUAUCACCGGCACCAAGGGCGACAGUCAGCGGAUGAAGAGAGCCUUGCAGGCCGUAUAUCAUCCGCGGAAUCAGUACAUUCUGCACCUGGAUCUGGAGGCCCCGCCCAGGGAGCGGAUAGAGCUGGCCGUGUACGUCAGGGGUGAUCCCACGUUCGCCCGCGUCGAAAACGUCCGCGUGAUCGCCAAGGCCAACUUGGUUACCUACAAAGGGCCCACAAUGAUCGCCUGCACCCUCCACGCCGUCGCCCUUCUCUUGAGGGAGAGCUUGAACUGGGACUGGUUCGUAAAUCUCAGCGCCUCCGACUAUCCUCUCAUGACUCAAGAUGGUCAGUAUCCGUGCGAAAUAUCGCGCCCGAUUCUUUCUCUCAUUAUCUCUUCAUGCUCUCUGCCUAGUGAUUUACUUAAUUACUGAUUUAAGACGCGCCAGGUGCCACCGAUAACACGGCUUAAAACUCUGUAUUCUUUAAUAAAUUAUCAAGUAAUUUUCUCAAUAAAGCGCGUGAAAGAUUUGAUGAUAAAGAUACGUAAUAAUAAGCAAUUAGAGUAUUUCUGCUGCUAAUAGCAGCAAAUAAAUAUUUCAUGCCGUUACACGACCACGACGGCGACGGCGACGGCGGCACGCAUGUGAUUAAACCGAAAUAUUUAGUCAGGACAACUCCUAACUAGUGAUUUUUUAUUAUCUAGAAAAUUGUGGUAAGAUGAUCUUCAACGAAAGCAAAAUCAUGCGGCGGAGGACAAUGCAAUUUUGGCGAGCAAAUGUACUCGACAUCUUUCAUACAACAGUAACUAAUAAGUGAAUUCACAAGCUCUGUGUGUGUGUUUCAUUUUUUUUUUUUUUUUUUUUUUUUUUUUUUUUUCUUUCCCCUUCUGUAAGAUGCCUUUUGGCAUCCAGCUGAGUCGCAUCGCAAGCUAGCCAACGAACGACAGGAGCAGCGAAGUCCACCCGACAUGAUAUUUUACAAGACUGAACUCUUCGUUCAUCUGUUAUACUAAUAUUGGUCAUAUUUUGCAUAACUAAAUAGCACAUGAGUAAUGUAUUCGAGCAUUCAUUGCAAAAGUAGGCCUUCCUCAUCGAGCUACAAAAUUUUGCUGUGACUUAUAGUAUGAUGACUAUUUCUGUACAGAUAUACUUCACGUGUUCUCAUCUUUGCCGAGAAAUCUCAAUUUUAUAGAACACAUGCAGAUUGCAGGGUGGAAAGUGUAAGACGAACUAUUCAGCAUUUUAUUUCUUUCGCUUGUAGUGAUCGAUCAUACUUUGCUACUUCUAAUUGUGAGUUUAUUUUGAAUGAUGCAGGGGCCAAAGGGCUAAACCAAUCAUUGUCGAUCCAGGCAUUUAUUUGUCCAAAAAAUUCGACAUCGUUGUGACUACCGAACGUCGGGAACUGCCGACAUCUUUCAAGUUAUACACCGGUAAGCUAUUUGAACCCGCUAAUGCUAUGAAACUUCUGCCCAUCCUAUUUUGUGUGGUGUAACAGAACUUCCGAUUAUUCUGCUAUGUUUAAAGUUCUCAAAGCUAUACGUCCUUUUACACUUAAUAAUUGAAAAUGAUGAUGGAUAGGAACACCAAAAGACAUUCCCUUAGAAAAGCUAUGGAUAGUCGUAGUGCCGGAAUUUUUGGAAACAUGCGGGCUGAGACUGUGGAGUUAAGUGAAUAGCAUAAUACAUGCUUAGAUUAAUGCUAAAUUCAAGCCUCGUGAAGCUUGCUUGACUCGAGUAUGGAUUAUUAUUGUGUCAUGGUAUUCCCCCAUGCCAAAGCGUAUUCUGUUGUGAAACUUCAUACGGCGAAUGGUGCUGCUGGACCGCAACCGCAUGUCAGCACAGAAAAAUCCGUUCAAAACUUUCGAAAUGUGGUGUUUAAUAUAACUACUUUUGCUUUAUUGAUUGAUUCGCUCUAAGCAGUGGAUUUCAAAUAUUCACCCGCUAUUUGUCACUAAUUCCAUCAGAUAUCCUUUAGCAUGGAUAAUGAAUUGGAAGGUUGUCUACUGGGGAAAUCAUUCUUGCCGAAAAUCAACCGUUAAAAAAUUAUAUCAAAUGAAACUCUCCAAAGAAAGAGAAGAUAAAGUAGUUUACAGGGGAAUCUAAAGCACCUUUUAAAAGAAAAAAAAAAAAGAAGAAGAAAGAUAUCAAAAAAGGUGACUUUUCGCAGAAAGAUAAUCAAAAAGUGUAUUAGCAGUAGUGCAAAAGUUCUUGCUCAAGAUAUAAUCGUUCUACGCUACGCCAUAGGGAGGUAUAGUUUUGGCAUCGCGUUAGACACGGGAAUUAUAUUAAAUAUUGAUCCAUGUAGUAAGGAAUGUCCCUGCUGUUGAGCACUUGUAUGCACUUCCUCAUCUCUUGUAUAUCUUGUAAUUCAGGUUCGGCUUGGGUGAUGCUGGCCCGAUCCUUCCUCGAGUACUGCAUAUGGGGAUGGGAAAAUCUCCCUCGGACCAUCCUAAUGUACUACGUCAACUUCAUCUCCUCGCCUGAGGGGUACUUCCACACUGUGAUCUGCAACUCCGAAGAGUUUCGAAACACGACAAUCGGCCACGACCUGCACUACAUUGCCUGGGACAACCCGCCCAAGCAGCAUCCCCUCUCCCUCUCCGCCAAAGACUUCAAUAAGAUGGUCAAGAGCGGGGCGCCCUUUGCCAGGAAGUUCGCAAAGGAUGACAAAGUGCUGGAUAAGAUCGAUCGCGAGCUCUUAGGUCGGUCGGACGGCCAGUUCACCCCGGGAGCUUGGUGCGUUGGCAGAUCGGACGGCGGGGCAGAUCCAUGCUCCGCCAGGGGCAAUGAUUCUGCGUUCCGACCGGGUCCCGGAGCUGAGAGAUUGGAGGAGUUGAUGAAGAAGCUACUGUCUCAGGAUUUCCGAAAUGGAAGCUGUUCGUCGCUGGCUUACGAUCAGCCGACGAGACGGUGGAUUAUUCCCUGACGGCAUCAUGCUCGCCCUCUGACACUCCAACUGCAUUGUUGUGGAGCGAGAGCAAGUGCAAGUGCAUAACACAUGACUAUUUAUACGCUAAUUGAUGAUAUACAUACAGACUUAUAUGAAUGGCAUUGCCGCGUAAUUCAAGGGUUCGCAGGUUUCAUCUUUUCCUUUGUGAUUUCGAGUUGCCAAUUGCUGAGGAGUGAGAACUAGCGAGUUGAUCAUCAUCUGAAGGCUUAUAUUAGUCUGACUCGAGAGUGUUAUUUAGUUUUGGUAAAAAUGUAGGAUUCUGUCAAUUUUUUAUUUUAUUUUUUAAAUCAAGUAAUCUUAGCUAAAUAAAUUGAAAAUCUUAUCAUAUUAAUUGAUACUCCUAUCAAAUUUAAUACUUUAAACUAUUCCGUAGCGAGAUACAGCUAAUGCAAAGAUGAGUUUAAUGAAUGAGGAGUUUAACAAAACUUUAAAUAUUAAUUAUCUGUGAAAACUCGAUGGAGUGUUACAAAAUACAUACUUGACAUAGAGGUUUCUUGAUAACGGCAGAAGCUAUGAGUUUGACAACAAAAAAAAAAAAAAAGAAGAAAAAAUCUACCAACUCUGGCUAUAUUAUGAAACCAAAAUGGGCUUCUUGGAAGAGUUCUUAUUAGUUACAAGGACUAAAAACUACAAAUCGAGUUUGUCAAUUCAAUAAUCUAUAAACCUAUAUGAAGUCGCAAUACCUUUUGCCGCGUGGCAUGUUGCCUUUCAUUCUCAUAGCCCAACUUUAAAUCAAAUCACCUUCUUCUCUUCUCAAUGCUCAAUCCUUCACUUUCCCACUCCUCUAAUUACAUGCAAUAUGCUACAUUUAAUUACAUACACUAUAUUAAUAUUCUAUCAAUGAAUGUACUUUAUAACUUUAAUCCACUUUCCUUCUUCAUUAAUCUCCCACACCCCCUCUUUUGUAACUCUUUUGUAUGUACCAUAAAAAAACUUUUUGCCACGUGACAUAUUAACCUUCAUUCUCGUAACCCAACUUUAAAUCAAACCACCUUCUCUUCUCCUCAACGCCCAACCCUUCACCCUCCCACUCCUCUAAUUAUAUGCAAGGUGCAAUAUUUAAUUACAUGCACCAUAUUAAUAUUCUAUCACUGAAUGAGUUCUACCUAUAAUUUUAUUUUUUUAAUAGUUGAAUUUAGUCAUGCAAAUUGGUUGUGCUUAACAUGGUAUAACUUCCUAUAUAUCUGUCACGCCUCGAGCCCGAUCCUUUUGGCCGGUUCGAGAGCGUCAAACAGACGUCGAACGGACAGAGUCUCCCCUGUCCGCCCAAGGCUCAACAAUAGGUACAGAUAGAGUAUAAAAUUUGUAUAAGCGGAAGUAUACACAAUGGCUUGCACGAGGACAAGUAAUAGCCAAAGUGAAAGUAAUAAACUACACUUAGAAAAUCAUUUACAUUUUUGCAUCAUUUCUUCUCUUUUACAUCACAUGAUCUCAAAAUGUAAGUUUUUGCAUUGAAAUAUAAAAUAUCUUUUACAUCAUUCCUGUUCUUUUUCUUUAACAUCUAUAGUCAUCAAAAUACAAAAAAGUGAUGUAUAAAGGUAUGCAACUACAAAAUGAAAACCCACUCGGGAGGUCUCUAUCUAGGGCGCGAUGCCCUUACCGCGGUCGUCCGCCGGCUCACUCGGUCCCGUCUCUGUGGAAAUAGUGGGGUGAGAACUACAACAAAGUUCCCAGUGGGUUCGGCAACCGAUCAUGCCGACUUUCCCACUAGGUCUAAAUCAGGCAUAAUAGAAGAAUAGAUAGAUAGUAACCAAGCUAAAACAAAUGCAGCUAAUAUGCCUGAACAAUAAAUAAUGCUAUGCUCAAUAGAAUACUCAUGAUGAAUGCAAGGUCACUACUUAGAACCCAAUCUCUUUGCUAGCCCGUAGGUUUCGCCCACAAUAGACUCACCAAGUCAAAUCCCAAAGAUCGGGAAGACUACUACGCCCGACGGGAUCGUCCUCUGGGGAGACUACUACGACCCAGUGAUGACAACUCCGGAGCACAUCGCCCGAGGGGGAGCUACCACCCUCGAGCAAGGACUUACAGGUGAGUAUGAUCUAAUCCUUAACUAUAAGGAUGUCGAGUUCAAUCCAUUCCUUAACUAUAAGGAAGCCAUGCACUAUGACCCUUAACUCUAAGGUUGAAAUUGUCAUAAUGUCACUAUCACACUUUUACUUGCAUUCUUUACUUUCACUAGUGUCAUAUACACUACUAUGUUCUUAUACACAUGCCACACUUAUUUUCUAAGUGUUUUCCAACUCUAGCAUUCCCGACUCAUCAAUGUCACUUUUUACUUCUAUGUAAAGAUGUCACAUUUGUUUACUAAGUCUACUAAGUUCUUGUCACUUGUCAUGCAUGAAUAGGGUUUAUAAAAUUCUCACAUUCUUGCUAGUAACUCACAUGCAUUUGUACUCACAACAUGCAAUAAAUUGCUCACAUAUAACCCUACUAUGUAAUUUUAUGCUCAAUACACAUAUAUUCAAAUAUGACACUUUAAACAUAAAAGGAAUUCCGAGGUCAUCGGAAUGCACCACCCACCUUAUAUGGUUACAAAGGUGCUACGGUAAAUUUCUUGAAAUUUUUUGAAGCUCUACUUUUUCGCCUGCGGCAAAACGAAGCCAAAUUAGACUUUUUCUCAAUAACUUUAUCUAGAAUUUUUCGUAACGUCAAACGGAGUUGCCCCACGCGUCGGGAAUACCCCUAAUUAGGUUUUCAAGAGGUCAAUUUAUCUCGAAAAAAACCGGAGGCAAAAGCCCCAAAAUCCAUACCCUAACAAUGCCAUAAUGGAAUUUCUCCUAGUUUGAUCUCAUUUCUAAGCAAAAGCAAGCUUUGAAUUAACUAGGAAGCAUUCUAAUACCAUUUCUAAGCCAUUCGAACCAUUCCUAGGGCAUCUUCUAUGAUCCCUAGUUGUCCACCCUGAGAGGACCUUGAGAAAACCAUAAUUUUCAUGGAUUUCAAGGUUCGUUCGACGUUUCUAGGGUUAUUAGAGGAUCAAAACUCCAAAACUUAAAGUAAGAAUCCUAACCCUAGAGGAAUUCAUGCAUAAACUCACCUUAGCCACAAGCUAUCUCCAAGUCCUUCUUGUAGGAGAGCUUCUAAAGCCUUCAAAUCCACCAAGAUCUCCUCUCCAAGCUUCUUCUCCACCUUCUCCUUGCCCUAGAGCAAGAUCUCUAGAGAGAGAAAGAGAGAAAUGAGAGAGGGAGAGAGUGGAGUGGCUGCUGCUGUAAAGGGGAGGGUUUGGGUUUAUUUAUAGUGUGCAACAAUUGCAACAAAGUCCCCCGAAAAGUCUUAUUUGUAGCAGACCAAUUUGAUGCUGCCAGACCAAAGUGUACCGGUACACGGGAUUUUGUACCGGUAUAUUUUCUGCGCAGAGGCAACCCGAGAGCAAGGUUCUCGAUUUCGUAGCAUUUGUAUCAAUACACUUUCAAAGUGUACCGGUACACUUUCAGUUUUUCUCUCAAACCCGAGAGCACACUCUGCACGGGCUGCAGGGCUAUACCGGUGACAACUCGGUGGUUGUUCCGAUACACUUUGCCCAGAAUGCUGAUUUUGCGCCGUUUUCGAUUUUAUUUCGCGCCGAUCGAUGCUAAAACCUUUCUAACACCUCUUAAACUCAUUUUUAGCCCUUCCAACCUUGUUGGAAUGCUAAAUGGAACUUGUCUAACUAUUUCUUUCGCAUUGUUCACUUUUAAAUCGUGCCGAGCAAUGCUAAAAGUUGCUUAACACUUUAGGGACUCGAUUUUGACCCUUCCAACAUUGUUGGAAUGUCAACCGGACUUUAUCCAUCCAUUUCUCUCAGCUCUUUAACCAAUUUGGCUAAAGUUCGAUAAUCGCUAUCGAAGUUUCAAUAUGUUACAAUAUCAAUAAGCUAUAAAUAUAGAUUUUAUUAAAAUUUUUAAAUUUUGCUUCUAUUAUAUACCCGCUGCAUCGCGCGGAUCUCUACACUAGUAGUAAAUAAAGGUUACUAAAGCACAAGAAAUUUGUUUGACAGCCAAAAAGGAUCUUGAAAACUCUAGCUAUAUAAAGAGACCAAAUUGGACCUCUUGGUAGAGCUGUCACCUGGACUUUUGGUAAAAAUCUCUCUAUUCUUGUAGCAGAAAUUAUGAGACCCUAGGUAGUCUAUAUAUAAGAUAUAAUAGGCUAAAACUCUUAAUCCGGCUUAAACAUUUUGGGUGGUGGCUAGGCCUAAAAGGUUAAAAGAGUUAAGCGUGGUAGGACGACCCAAAAGGUUAAAAGGUUAAAAGAGCUAAGCGUGGUAGGAUGGCCCAAAAGGUUAAAAGGUUAAAAGAGUUAAGCAUGGUAGGAUGGAAGUAAUCCUAGAUGGGCGACCUCCUGAGAAGUUGGGGCGUCACAUAAAUAAAUCUUGUAAAUAGUUUGAUUUGAAACCUCUAACAUAACUUUUUUCCAAAAACGCAUGCAAAAAUCAACAACAAAAUAUAUAGAUAUUUUAAAAAAUGUUUAGAUGGCCAGUAAGAUUGGCCCUCCAUGAGGCUCUGACGAUCACUUCUAGCGAUACAACAACCACGAGCUAUCCCAUCGGCACAUCUCUAAGGUAGCGCAGAGUGAGCCAGGUAGGCUCUUAUUAGAGAUCCAGCAAGAAGAGUAAGAAUGUAAAAGAAAUUAAAGUCCAAAGAAGUAUAUUGAAACUCAGAAUAUAUAGAAACUCUCUCCAUAUAAACUGGGGUGGCCAAUCUGCAUUGCCGCCAUAAGGUGGCCAAUAGGCACUGCCGCUACUGGCAGCUAAUAAGGUGGCAUAGGUCCAACAACUACGUUGACCAUUCACAUUCUUAGGCACUAUUACAUGUCUUGAGUUUUUCAUGUUGGACUAACCUCAUACGUAAAUAAUUUAUGCACGGACUCCCCUUGGGCCGCCCAGGAGGCCUAUAAGCCAAAAUAAAGUUUUAAAUCACACUUUCAAGAUAAAUACCGACAUGACUUAAUUAUAUCAACUGGCAAUUCCAAGUAGCAUCAGACUCUGUCCUGUACCCCUGUAUUAUAUUUUGAGCUUGGGUCUGGGUCUAGAGAUGUAGACUCUAUCGAACCCAAAACUGAUUUAAUAGUUGAUUAAAAUUCAUUUUCAAGUUAAAACUAUUGAUUGGACACUGCCUUUAUUUCCCCUUUUAUAUGGAAACACCAUUUUGGAAUGGGGGAAUAGUAGUUCCCCUUUUGGCAUGAAGGUGGAACAGUUAUUCCACUCUUUUUUCUGGAACAAACUUGUUCCCAAGUGAGAACAAGCUUAAUUAAAGUCUAAAUCUAAUUUUAAUUAUCGUAUUAAAUCAUUAAUUAAUCUAAUUAAUAUAUUUAAGUCAUUAUCUAUUGCUUAAAUAGUAAAGUAACUAAUUAAUUUAUUAUUUACAAUUAAUUAGCUAAUUAACUAAUUAAUUACUUAUGAUGUUUAUGCAAUAUUUAAUAUUUUUGUUGAUUAACUAAUCAUUUUGACUAAUCUAAUUAUUGUAUUAACUAAUUAUCUAACUAUUAAAUAAUUAACUACUUAAUUUAUUAAUUUAUUAAUUUGUUAAAUUACUUAUCUCUAAUUAAAUUAUUAAUUAAUAGUACUCAUUGCUAAUUAUUUUAUUAAUUAAUAUUUAGGGUUAUCUGCCAAUAUUUAUUAUUAAUUAAUUAAUUAAUUAAGUUAAAUUAUUGUUAAAUUAAUAUUUUAUAUUAAUUAAUUAGAUAAAAUAUUAUUAUUUUAAAACUAUAAAUACUCUUAUUCUCACUAUUCCAAUCUACCUAUUCAAAAGCUAUUAUUCCCGGGAACAAUCUAAUUUUCAUCCAAAUGCAAAAUUGUUCUUUGUUCCUGCUUAUCUCACAAUUUAACAUAUGAAAUGCUGCACUUUUUACAUAAAAUUCCAUUUCAUCGAUUUCUCUUUGAUUUGAUUUUAUCUCCAAAUAUCACUUUAUUGUGCACAAUCACCCGAAAGUCCUUCUCAGGUUUAUAGCAUUGUUAAACCUUGAAAGUGAUGAUUUUGUUUCAUUAGACAAACUGUCCAAUUAUAUAGUAGACCACAAUCUUUAGGAAAAUUAUAAUUUAAAUUCUCAGUUUCUACACAUAGCUAUAAGCAUCACUUUUCCCGACUUCUACCUAUCGCGAUGCGCCGACAAAUUAUGAGUAGGAUUUGCUUAACUAAGUUAAUAAUUCAAUUAAAUUGUGACUUCUACCUCUCUCAUUGAUUACCAUGAGUGUUGAUCAUGUUCUUGACAUUCUUGUAUGCAUCAAACACUUAACAAGCUUAAAAUUAAAUAAAGUUUGUUUUGGAUUUUUGUGAACAUAGUAGUAAAUCAUGUCAAUUUAAACCUUUUGCAUAGCAUGAAAAAGCAUGGUGUCAGCAUGAUGCAAGGUAAACCGGUGUUGUGUGUGAAAUUCGGUAUCAUGUUGUGAUUUGUUAGUGUUAGGUAAACACCCCAAUUGGGUGUCUGUGCUAUGACAUGAUUAUUGCCCGAUAAACAUCAGCGGUUCCUUUUGAUCAAUCGAUAUGGUUAUAUGUACAAUUCACUAUUUGACGCUUCUGAACGCCACGUGUCGUGUUCCAGUUAGCUCUCUGCCCUACCAUUUCUCUCUCUCUCUUCUACGCUUGUUACCGAGGCGCCUAUGCCCUUUCCCCUCCCUCUACCCUACGCCUUCUCGAAGCGCCCCCCAUCCCCAUCCCCUCUCUCUCUUCCCUACGCCACCCUCCUCUCUCUCUCUCCCCCUCUCCCUCUUCCCCCUUUCUCUGCACAUUACCCUACCUGAAGCACCCUUCCGCUUUCUCUCUCUACCAUACCCUACGCCUUCCCCGAAGCGCCCUCUAUGCCCUACUUGCUCUCUCUCUCUUCCCUACGCCACCCUCCUCUCUCUACCCUUUCUCUCAUUCUCUUCCCUAUACUCUGCGUCGUACCCCACCCGAAGCACCCUUAGACUUUCUCUCUCUACCCUCUCCCUCCGCCCUCUCUCUCGCUUACCCGAAGCGACUCUCUCUGCAAUCUACAGCCUCUCUCUCUCUCUCUCUCUCUCUCUCUCUCUCUCUCUUUUUCUCUCUCCGGCCUCUUCCAGUGUAUCCAUUCGUGAUCUCCCUGUUCCCGAACAAAUCUUUCAGAUUGCUCCAUGUUGGGCGAUUGUAUCUGCGAGAUUUUCUCCCCUCGCAGAAUAGAUUUCCUCAGUUUCCCCGCUCCCGAUCCGACGGUGGUAAUUCAAUUAACCCUAAUCAUGCCUACUGAGGUAAUAUAUCCCUACCCCUAACCCCUUUCCUUGUCUUUGCUGCCGCCUUAAUUCGAUUUGAUGGUGAUGUUAUGCAGAAAUGGAGAUGAUGAACAUAUAUGUUUUACUGUGUUAUUAUUCGAUAGUUUUUUGUGUGUUAUAUUUGAUGGUUUCGGUUCUCUUCCAAAUAUCGUAUCUGUUAGAUCUUCUCCGAUUAAUUUGCAAGAUCUUCAAAUUUCAUAAAAAAAUAGGAAAUGCAUAUGGUUUUUAUAAUGUUAUAAUGUGACCUGCAAGAUUUUUUCCUAGAUUUGUUAGAUCUUUGCAUUUAAUAGCCGCAUUCAAUUCAUCUCUCUGCUAGCAAGAUCUCCAGUAUUUUAUUUUUUAUUACCUGAGGGUUUCUAUUAGUCAUCUUGCCUUCUUCAUGGCCUCUAUGCUCUUUCUAUAGUUGUUGUAUGGUAAGAGGCAUUAUAAAUAGUGUUGACUGUUUCACACAGUACGACAUUAAAUUCCUGGCUGCUCUAUACAGUACAGCAUUAAAUCCCUUCCAACUGAAGAGUAAAUUCUCAACUCGUUAAUGCAAUAACAUAGAACUAUUUAGUAAAUUGUAUAGAAAUUUUCAGGAGGCUCUAAUUGUUGUUGUAUAUACUAUUGAUUAGAUACCUAUAAAAGUACCUACCCUUUUUGCUACCUUCCCCAAAGGGCAAAGGUAUGGCCUCCUUUGGUGCUGGUCUGACCGUUAUAAGGCUUUUGACUAUUGCCUCUCUCUAUUUUGGGGGUUGUGGUUUUAUAGUUUGGUUACUUUUUGGAUUCAUUUGGCUGUUUGGUAGUGGUGUUCUUUCUAAUUUGAGAUUUUAAAUGUAUGUUAUAAUUUUUCUUUUUAAUGGGCUUCGUACGCCUCCCUCCUGCUCCUGUCCCUUUUAUUUCAAUAUGCCUUCAGGGCAGUGACGAAGGGCUUCAAAAGAAUAAAAGAAUUAAAAUAGGAACUCCAGUUUGGUUAUGGAUAAAGGUGAUGUUUGGAUGGCCUGCUCAUAGACAGCCGCUCGAUAUUGUAGGUUACUUACUCUGGUUGGGUUUUCGUGGAAAAAUUGGCUACAAUCUCUUCUAUGUUUCUUAGCCCACAUGACGCGCUUCUGUCACUGCUCCUCCUUCAUGAUGAAGAUUGCCUAGAGUAGUUUUAAUCUGAACCCAGUUUCGGACUUGUGUUCUACUGUUUUCCUUUUUUGUUCUUAUAUUUGAAGUUGUUUCUAAAUUUUCUAUCAUUUUUUCGUGCCUUCCUGUUUUUUGUUGGAUAUUUCAUGUGUUUGGUGCGUUUGUUGUUCACUCUUCUCUAUUUGUUUUUUGAUUUGUCAUUUUUUUUCUUAGUUUGUGUCCCAUAUUUUAAAUUUUUUUGGGUUCCCUUUUUUUAAAAUACAUAUUUCAUGUGCUUGGUGCUUAUGCUACUCCUACCUUUUAUUUGUCUUCUGAUUUUUCAAUUUUUAAAAACAUAUUUUAUAGUAUGUUUUGAAUAUUCACUAUUUUUUUUUCUAGAUUUAAAAAAAAUUCUUUCUUCUUUUAUUUUUGUUUUGAGACAGUGAUGAUAGGUGGGAGUAAAAAAAUAAUCAAAAGGCCUGAAAAAUAUUUUAUUUUUGGACGGCCUACACGUAGGCAACCACUCAUUGGUGCUUCUUGCUGCUAGUGGGGUUUUUCCUUUUUGGUUUGGAUCAGUGAUGCUCGGUAACAAUAAAAAAAAAAAAUCGACGCUGAACAUGAGAAUGUUUGGACAACCUGUGUGUAGGCAACCACUUAUUAUUACUUCUUGCAGCCGGUGCGGGGUUUUCACAGCCAUGGUUAGGACGCUUCAUGAUUUAUGAUUUUAUGUUGGCCGCUCUUGGCAACAAACUACUCCUACACUGCCCUAUACUCGCGCAUUACAUUGCAUGCCCUAUUCAUCAUUGGGAGAUGAACGGUCAAUCUUUCCCUUAGUUUGCUCUUUUUUCCCGCACGUGAUUUGUUUUUUCUUUGUUUUUUUUUUUCUCUUACUUGGUGUCUUUUUUUUCUUUUGUUUCCCACACGUGAUUUUUUUUUCUUCUGUUUCUUCUUCUUUUAUACAUGAGUUUUCACUCUUUGUCCACUUGCUACUCCUCUCCCUAUGUCUAUCCCUCUUGCGGCUAUAGGUAUGACACCUAUCCAAAUCUCCUACACUUGCUUGCUGCGGGAAGUGUUCGAGUAGCUUCAGAUGGAUCUGCAUCAAUGUGUUCUGACGUCUGACACCGACAGAAGUUUCUUAGCAUAUAUAGAUCUUCCAAUAUCUCGGAGCAAAACUAUAAUUGAAAGUGUUCAGUGUUGGGGUAGCGUAGCAGCGACCUCAGUAGGGGCUGAACAAGAAACUGCACGGUCAGCUAUUAAGAAGUUGGUCGCUAAAUUAGAUCUGCAGGUUAAAGACAUAAACUACGAUGACAGUGUAUUUUAUAAGAAUUUAUAUGACCAUCUAACUGUAGAUCACGCGGUGCUACUUGCCUAGUAUAAUAAAUUGGUUCAAGAUUAUAAUUUCUUAAAGGAGUGUUUUGUCUCUAUCGUAGAACAAAAAAAUAAAUUUAUAACUGAGCGGUUCAGGAUCUCGCUAUUUCAUCAGUGUAAUCAAUUUAUUAAAAAUUUAUAUACACUUUUUCAUAUAAAAUAUUUUUUAUUCUGUUCUAAUUUUUAUAUAAAAUCUUAUUGUCAGUUGCUCACAACCUGGUGUUGACAACCCUGAAGUCCAACCUGCGAAAAGACGCCGGCUGCUGUAAUGUAUAGAAAAAAAUACUCUAUUGAUAUUUAAUAUAAUUUACGUUUAAUUAUUUUAAUUUUUUUUAGGUUUCAUGAGCCUACACAAUUAGAUGAAGAGAAAGAUCAAGAGAAGAAUGAAGAUGAAGAGAAGAAUGAUGAAUCAUUUUCCGCUACUACUCCUUGACAUUUAUAAUUAUUUACUUAUUUGAUAAAACUAUUAGCAUAAGAUAAUAACACUUUCUACCGUCUUUCUUUUUUUUUUUUUUUUACUUAUGCCUAUAAUUUCAUUAUAUAUUAGAGGACUUAAAUAUCUGAAAUAUUACUGACCUACCGCAAAGCAAGGGCCCUUCACUAGUAUAUACAAUUUGUGCUAAACUGCAACCUGAGGACUCGAGGCAAAUGAUGUAUACAUGUGAUUAUAUGAAUAAGGGGAACAAUCCAUUAUUUUUCAUCGAUGGUUUUUUACAUGAGGUGAUGCAGUUGUCGGAAGUUAUUGUGAGUGGUAAUCUAUACUCUAGACGGAUGUAGAGUAUAUUGAUUUUGGGAGUAAAGAUAAAGUACUGUACUUUUGACAAAUAUUGGGUGUAGUUAUAAUUAGGAUUGUACGACACUACACACGAGUGGAUUGUCCGGAAAUGAUGAUUUUACUUUGAACGGAUGUCGUUUAUAAUGAGACCUACGUGUCAUGCUCUAGACGGAUGCUAAGUACGGAUAAGGCUUUGGUAGAUAUGAGAUCUAACUAGGGUUUGAUUUCUUGUAGCCCUAAUUGGAGAGAAUACCGACGUGUUGGGAAACUCGGAUCGAGAUUCCGUCGAGUCUACGCCAAGAAAUUGAGGAAAAACCCCGUUUCGGCUUCGUUUGCCGUGGUCGAGGGGAAUAGGCGAUUGUAAAUCACUAGACUUGAAUCGUAGCGUUCUGGCAUCCCUACGAGGUGGGUGGUGCUAUCCGAAAUCAUCAAAUCUCCUUUUAUGUCUAAAUGUCACUAUCCCGCCCCGAGACUGCCAUUUUGGUCGAUUCGGGCACGCCAACUGUAAGAAAGUGGGUUCUCGUCAUAUUAAAUCACGUUUGGUCAAAUGACCAAAGCGUGGCGAGAGGGAUGCUUGGACAUGGUCCAUGUGACAUUCCAACAAUGUUGGAAGGAUUAAAGUUGAACUCCAAGUGAGUUAGAAAGGUUUUAGCAUUGCUCGGUGCAAAUUGGAGUCGAAACAAUGCAAAACUGCAUUCUGGAGCAUUGUUAACCGGUGAAGCAUUGAAAGAGUAUCGGUACCAGGCUGGCACUCGAGAGAAGCAGCUCGCGGGUUUGCCUCUAUCAAGCUGGUUAACCGGUGACUAAAUCAUGUAGUACCGGUACCCCACGUCCACCCGAGAACAUUAACUCUCAGGUUUGGGCAGUUGAACAGGGGCAUACCGGUGACUCCCACCCGCGUACUGGUACGCAGUGCCCCGAACAGUAGGGGUGGUCUGCUGCAAAUAAAAUAGAAUAAAGGGCUUUAUUGCAUUUGUUGCAGCCUAUAAAAAGACCACCACCCCCCCUCUCUUGUUCACAGCAAUGAACCCUCUCCCCUUUCUCAUUUUUCUCCUUCUCUGUCACGCCCCGGGACCCGGCAUAGGCCCGCCCGGUGCGUGCCCAGACCCGCCAUAUGCCUGCACAUAUAAGGCUUCUACAACAAUAGAGGUGUAAAAGCGAGAAGAGAUAAAACCACUAGAGAUAUCAGAGCAACUAAUAGCUAAAUACUAAAGACAAGUAAAGAAAAGGAAAGCAAUCCACUAAAGGUAAACAUAAAGUAAUACAAAUCAUCUCAAAGAACUACAAAAUGGGAUGGUCUCUAUACAUGGGUACAACUCUCAACCUCUUCCAAACUAAAACAAAAGAGAGGUAGACCACCUAUCGAUCGUCGCUCGCCAACCAGCUAACUCGAGGCGAUACCCUUUCCGCGGUUCCUAGCCUCGCCCGGAGUGGAAGGCUCUGAAAAGAAACAUGAACAGAGGGCGUGAGAACUAUAAUUUAUAUUUCCAGUAGGCAAUUACUGACCUCAGUACAAUGCACCACUAGGCCCAAAAUAAAGUAAGCAUAAAAGAGGAAACAAAAGUAAACUGCUGAAUUGAAAGCAUGUAUGAAAUGCUAUACUACUAAGCCACAAGUAAACAUGAUGUGUAUCAAUGCUAUCAUGAUUGAAUAUACUAAUGUAAGAUGAACAUGUUCUUCACGGCAACCAAGUAUACUAUGAUGCAACGAGUAAAACUAUCAAGUAUACUGCAUGUCCCAAUGUCUCAAAGCCACUCUAUAAGCAUGUCAAGUAACCCAGCUACUACGAUCUAUCUAGUAGUGAUUCACAUUUUAGGAUUUGGUGUCAAAGUUCAAUCUUGUUCUAGGACCUACACGAGUGUAGUCCAGCUUGUGCCGCCUAAGUGCCGGUGGUAGCGCCAGCAUUCCCACUCUGGAAAUGAGUUUAUCCCUUCCGACCCCGUAGGUUCCUCGAUACCGCACGAGUCGCGUAGGCCAAUUUCGGAGUACCGGCUUGUAGGGAGUGACCCUCACAAGCAUGUGCGAAUGAGCACAAAUGGCAAGCAAGCAAAGUCAAUAGCUCAAGUACCCAAUCGUCAUGUCUCUACCAUGGCAUUAGCCACUAGCCACCCAACGGUCCAGUUCUAUGUCUCGAGCGAAGUUCCAACAUAGACUGUGCUUAGUGCCUCUUUAUGACACUUAAACAUUUCUAUAACCCAAGUACAUUUCACAUUCUAGGCCACUUUAUGGCUCUAAUACGAGGUUCAUUCAUAGCCCGAGCUCAAUAACCCUUUAUGACAUUAGCUAAAUCGUUCACAAAUAGUACCAGUCCCAAACCUCUUUAUGGCUUAAGGUAAUCGCUCAUGUCUCAUUAGAUAAAUGAUCAAGGGUGUGAUGCAAUUUCCGUUUUCGCUAAGGGAACAAGGUUCGAAGUCUCAAGUAGAAUGCCAAGACUCAUGCACAAGUCCCACAUACAAGCUCUCUACUACAUAGAGGUCCGAAAAUUCAUUAUACAUAACAUAGGCAUGUUAAGCAUUUUAAAAUUUAUAAUAAAUACAUCUAGCAUGAAAAUGCAUGAUUUUCUAUUUUACAAUACAUAAAUCACCAAUAAUGGAAAUUUUCCAUAUUUUUGGCUAGGUCAAACCCACCGAAACUUGCGCAACCCUUCGUUUGCUCCAAUGGGGGUGUCCACUAGCCUCCUAGCACCCUAGAAGCGUCAAAAAGUGAGCCACACGAAGCUAACGAACAACCACAAGAGUAAACAUUAACCAUCUAGGCAAAAGAGGCCAAAAUCUCACCUAUAGUGUAGAAAUCCCCCUACAAAGCUCAAAUGGGAGCUAAAUCCCUUCCGAAGCAACCUAAACCAAGGUUCUAAUCCAAUUAGAUUAGCUCUAAAAGCUUCAAAUCAAAAAGCCUCAAAUAAACCAUAGGUUUUCCAUUCUAGGGUUUCAUCUCCCAAAAACCACCAAAUCUAGGUCUAGAGAGGAGAAGGGAGCAACUAACCUCUUAAGAAGCUCCAAAUCAAGCCCCAAGAGUGAUGAUCACCUCUCCAACAAGCCCCAAGUCCAAGCCUUCAAGCAUCAUCAAGGUGGGAAGAGAGGGAGAGGGAGAUGUCCAAAGGCCUCCAAGCUUGAUCCUCUUCCUCUUCCUCUUCUUCUUCUUCUUCUUCUUAAGAGAGAAAGAGAGAAAGAGAGAAAGAAAUAAGAGGGAGUGAGGGAAAUGAGAGAGAGAGAGAGAGAGAGCCCUGCCCCCUCUACAUACACUAAGAGAUGUAACAAUUGCAGCAAAACCCCUCCACUUCACCUGUCUCACACAGUCCAGACUGGGCUGAUUUCCAGCAGAGGGACCGGUCUCUCCCACCAGGGACCGGUCCCUCAGGACCCUCCCGCAGUCUGCGCGUUCGGGAACCGGUCUCCCUGGCUAGGGGACCGGUUGCCUCGGCCGACUGCCGCAACCCGCGCUACGGGGGACCGGUCUCUCCUACCAGGGACCGGUCCCCGAGAGUUAAACUCUCAGGAAUUAGCCAAAACUCAGAAUUCGAACUUUUAGGUCGGAAUACAGUCUACGACCCUCCACCAAACAUGGAAGAGCUCGGAGCACAUAUCAAACACUCGAACCUUGCAAUUUGCGAAAGUCCAGUGUGUUACAUUCACCCCUCCUAGAAAGGAGUUUCAUCCGCGAAACUCAAAAACGAAGUACCUCAAGCUUCUAUCUGAAAAAGAUGGGGAUAGUGCUCCUGCAGUGCGCUCUCCAACUCCCAUGUGGCUUCGCGCUCCUCGUGGUUGCUCCAAAGAACCUUCACAUAGGGGAUCUCGCGGUUCCGCAGUCUCUUCACCUCCCGAGCCAAAAUCCUCAAAGGCUGCUCCUCAAAUCUCAAAUCCUCCCUCAGCUCCAAUGGUAUAGCAUCCAAAACAUGAGCUGGAUCGUGGAUGUAUUUCUAAAGGACCGAUACAUGAAAUACAUUGUGUACACCCGAUAGGUUCAGUGGUAGAGCAAGUCGAUACGCUACCGAGCCUACACGCUCCAAAACCUCAUACGGUCCAAUAAAUCGGGGGCUCAACUUAUCCCGGAUUCCAAAUCUUCUAAUCCCUCGGGUCAGCGAGACUUUCAGGAACACAUGAUCUCCAAUCUGAAACUCUAAGUCUCGGCGACGCUUAUCAGCAUAACUUUUUUGCCUACUCUGGGCUGUCAACAGUCGCUCCCGAGCAACACGAACCUUGUCCUCUGCUUCCUGGAGCACAUCGGGGCCUGAAGUCAAUCUCUCGCCAACUUCACUCCAGUGCAGUGGCGAUCUACACUUCUGUCCAUAGAGUGCCUCGAAAGGUGCUAUCUUGAUGCUUGCUUGAUAACUAUUGUUAUAAGCAAACUCCGCCAUCGGUAGAUGUUGCGACCAUCCUCCUCGGAAGUCUAUCACGCAGGCUCGAAACAUAUCCUCGAGAGUCUGUAUGGUGCGCUCUGACUGCCCGUCACUCUGAGGGUAGAAAGCUGUACUGAAAUCCAAGCGCGUACCAAAGGCAUCCUGUAAGCUCCUCCAAAAGUGAGAUACAAAUCGGGGAUCUCGAUCCGAUACUAUAGAAGUAGGUACCCCGUACAGUUGCACAAUCUCAUUCAAGUAUACCUGUGCGAGUCUCUCUCCAAUCCAGAUAGUGUGGAUAGGUAUGAAUGUGCCGAUUUCGUCAACCUAUCCACGAUCACCCAAAUAGCGUCAUGCCCAGCCUGUGAGCGGGGCAAUCCCAUCACGAAGUCUAUAGUAAUCUUUUCCCACUUCUACACUCGAAUCGGUAGGCUCUGCAAUUUUUCCGCGGGAACUCGAUGCUCAGCCUUCACUGUUGGCAAGUUAGACAUCUAGCAACAAACUCACCAACGUCCUUUUUCAUCCCGGGCCACGAAUAAAGCAACUUCAAGUCCUUGUACAUCUUGGUGCCUCCCGGAUGAAUAGAAUAGGGUGCUCGGUGUGCUUCUUGAAGAAUUUCCUCUCUAAGUGCCAAUUCCGCCGGUACACAAACCCGCUCGCGGAAACGCAUCAACCCAACACCGUCCACGGUGAAGUCACUGGUGCAACCAUCAACCAUUUUAGCUCUAAUCCUUUGCAACUCCACGUCGUGAGCUUGCUUUGCCUUGAUCCUUUCCAAAAGUGUAGGUUGCACCGCCAGAGUCAUCAGUCUCAAAGGUGUAUCAGGAGCCACCACCUCCAACUCCAACCGCUUCAUCUGCUCGAUCAACGGCGGUUGAGUAACAACAAGCAUCGCUAAGUUUUCCAUCGAUUUCCUACUUAGCGCAUCCGCCACCACGUUAGCCUUACCCGGGUGGUAUAGAAUCAUCAAAUCAUAAUUCUUGAGGAGUUCCAAUCAUCUGCGCUGCCUCAAGUUCAACUUUUUCUGAGUGAAUAAGUACUUUAGGCUCUUGUGAUCCGUAUAUACCUCGCACUGCUCGCCGUAAAGAUAAUGGCGCCAUAGCUUCAAUGCAAAGACUACGGCCGCGAGCUCCAAAUCGUGGGUAGGAUAAUUCCUUUCAUACUCCUUUAACUGGCGAGAAGUAUACGCGAUCACUUUUCCAUCCUGAAUCAAAACACAGCCCAAUCCAUUAAAGGAAGUAUCGCUAUAAAUCACAUACCCUGCUCCAGCAAUCGGCAAGGUUAGGAUCGGGGCGGUCGUCAAUCUCUGCUUCAGCUCUUGAAGGCUCCUUUCACAAGCAUCAUUCCAAAUGAACUUGGUGCCUUUAUGCGUGAGCCUCGUGAGGGGGGUAGAUAACUUGGCAAAUCCCUCAACAAACCUCCGGUAGUAGCCGACCAAACCGAUAAAACUACGUAUCUCGGUAACGCUCGUCGGCCUUGGCCAAUCCUUGAUAGCCUCAAUUUUUCUCGGAUCCACGGCUAUACCUGAUCCAGAAAUCAAAUGGCCCAAAAAUGCCACCUCUCUAAGCCAAAAUUCACACUUCUUCAACUUGGCGAUGAGCUUCUUUUCCCGAAGCACUUGAAAUAUUAGUCUCAAGUGUUCCUCAUGAUCCACCACACUUCGGGAAUAGACCAAAAUGUCGUCGAUAAACACCACGACGAACCUGUCUAAAUAAGGCUUAAAUACACGGUUCAUUAAAUCCAUAAAAGCUGCCGGGGCAUUAGUAAGCCGAAACGGAAUAACAGUAAACUCGUAAUGUCCAUACCGCGUUCUAAAAGCCGUCUUCGAUACAUCCUCGGGCACAAUCUUCAACUGGUGGUACCCCGACUGCAAGUCGAUCUUGGAGUACACACUCGAUCCCUGAAGGUGAUCAAAUAGGUCGUCAAUCCUCGGCAGCGGGUACUUCUUUUUAAUCGUGACUUUAUUAAGUUCAUGAUAGUCCACACACAAGCGAAUGAUUCGUCCUUCUUCUUAACAAACAGGACCGGUGCUCCCCAAGGUGACACACUCGGUGGCACAAAACCUUAUCCAGAAGGUCUUGCAACUGUGCCCUCAGCUCUUUCAGUUCCGCCGGUGGCAUCCUAUAGGGCGCCUUUGAGAUCGGAGUAGUCCCGGGAACGAGAUCCACAACAAACUCAAUCUCCCUAUCGGGUUGCAUGCCUGGUUGCUCCGCUGGAAACACAUCUCCAAACUCCCGUACCACGGGGAUGUCCUCAAUCCUAGGGGUAUCAGCCUCACCCCGCAACACAAUAGUAGCCAAAUAGGCCACGCAGCCUCUGCUAAUCAACUAUCUAGCUCGAGAGGAGCUAAUCGUCAUCGCAAACAGCGAACUCUGGCAUCCUCGGUAGACAACCUACGCCUGCCCUGGCUCUCUAAACGUCACUGUUCGAUUCUUACAUUCAAUAGUGGCGAAGUACUUGAUUAACCAAUCCAUGCCCAAGACCAUAUCAAACUCUCCAAGUCUGUGUAACGCUAACAAAUCCGCGGGCAUGAUCCAAUCUCCGACCCGAACCGGGCAACUGGGGCAAAUCUCUCUAAUGUCCAAGGAGUGGUCGGGUAUGACAACACGUCCCGGAUGCAACAAAGAAACAAGUGGGAUGCCAUGCAACUCGGAAAACAGCCGGUCAAUAAAUGAAUGCGAUGCACCAGUAUCAAAUAAUGCACGUACUCGAAUACCAUAAAGUAAAAUGAUACCUGCAACCACAUUCUCGGUCGCUGCUGCCUCCUCCGUCUGGACCGCAUACAUGUGCCCGCUUGGGGCCUGUUGUCACGCCCCGACACCUGCCUAUUUGGUCGGAUUCGGGCACGCCGACAGACCGCCGAAUGGACAGAGUUUUUCCUGUACAUCCUAGGCGUCGCAAUCAAUACAAUUUACGAUAUUCCAACCAGGAACAGAAAUCAAGCAUAGAUUGCAUAAGGAAGUAUCAAAAACAUAAACAACUAAGUUAUUACAAGCAUUCACCAGCUUACAUUUUUACAUCACAGUUUCUUUUACAUUCAACUUCCAAGUUACAAUCUAGUUAUUGCAAAUUUAUUACAAGUUUGAUACAUUUUUGUUCUUUCCUUUCCCUAUACCCCUAGGCUAUGCCGAUACGGGGUACUGCUAUCUCUGGUCUCUGGGGUAGGGCGCUACCUACGGAGCUACGCCCUUUUCUCGCGCCGCCGCACCGUUCACGUGCGAACCUGUAACAUCUCAAAACAACGUGGGGUCAGAACCAACUCUAUGGUUCCCAGUGGGUACGGCCACCCAAGGGAAGAGCUCGACCAACAGGUCCAUAGGAGGCAAACACACGUUAGUCCAAUGAGCAGAUAGAUAUAUAUAUCUUAAAUAUGCAACUAACACUACCAUGCUUUGCCUCACAACUGUAACAAUGCCAUGCUAUAUGUAAUAUGAAUAUUUAUGCAACAACUAGUAGAUCUAUUGAUUCUACAUUCAAUCUUGCUAACUUUAGUUCAUAUCAUCCAACUCUAAGGUUUCUACUACCUUAGGUUCACAACUCAAGUCCCAUUUGCUUCUAAGGCCUCUAUUACCUUAGGUUUAUCACAUUUACCACUAGCUCUCAAGGUUCUAUCUACUUUAUUCCAGCUAGCCACCCAACUCGGCCUCGAGUCAAUCAACUGCGGAUAAUCCGCGCUCUGCCCGGCUCGAGGUGAAGGAACUCUCACAUGCACCUCAGCCUGCAAUCCAAGAACCACAUCGCCCAACGGUCCGGCCGAAGGUCCGUGCACCGUGGUCAGGGAUCCCCCGGUGGGAGAGGAAUAUGUCGCAUACACAUGCAGCUGAGAUCCCCGAUAGGGAGAGGAACAUGCCACAUACACCCUAGCGCUCUUCGUUCUUGCGCAGUCAUAAUCCUCGAAGUUUUUUCGGUGGGAGAGGAACAUGCCACAUGCACCCGCGGCCAAGAAUUAUCGAGCUCACAAGUCUCGGAAUUCCGGAAUCCACUUUACAUAGCUCAAGGGUUGGUCUCAAACCCUAUAGUAUCGACCUAACCAAGUCGAAUGCACUUUCCACCCUAGGUCCAACUGACUCUAGGUUUAAUACCUCAACCACAUAACCUAGGUUCACUUUAACUCUAGAUCCAGUUCACAACCUAUGUUCACGAUACUAGGUUAAUGCCACACAUGAUUUACCCUAGGUUCAACAACACUAGGUUAAUGCCCAACCGAUGUUUAUUAACACUAGGUUCAUAUGUCACUCUUAUCCAACCUAUGUCCAUGACACUAGGUUCAAUGCAACCUAUGUUUACUAACACUAGGUUCAAUGUCAUUUUUGUCCGACCUAUGUUUAUUAACAUUAGGUUAAUGCCACUCGAUCUACUCAAUACCUAAUUGUCCACAUCGAGUUUCUAUAAACGUCCACGUUAUCAGCAUGCAUAUUAUACUUAGCCUUUUCUCAUUAUGUCACUAUGCUCUCUUCUAGCAUGUAGGUUAACAUGUCACAUGCAAAUAACAUCUAGCAUAUAUUUCAACAUAGCAAUUUGCUAUUAUCAACUAGCAUGCACUUCUAAUGCAUCAACAUGCAACUAUCAACUAGCAUACAUAAUAUUUAUAUGCAAUCAUCAACAAGCAAGUAUUUACAUGAUGCUAGCAUGCCUAUGUUUCCAUUUAGCAAAUAGAUUCACAUGCAUAAUUCCCUAAACCUAUCAAUUAGGUUUACAUGCAUUAUCUUUCACCUAGCACAUUACAAUGCCAACCUGCAGAUCACUUGCAUCUACUUACUAGCAUGUACUUUCCAAUGCAUUAUUAUGCAAUUAUCACUAGCAUGUAUUCUGCCCACUAGCAUACAUUUACAUAAUGCUAACAUGCCCGUAUACACAUACAUAUACAUCAACAAAAAUUCAUAUUUCGCUUUGACAUGCGGGGCGACAUAGUCGCUUCGGUAAACACAACCCACCUUAACUUACUCUCCGAUUGCUCUUAGUCACUUGCAAUCGACCUCCCGUGACGCCCGGCACCCGGUUUGGCCCGAUCUUGCAGUUGCGCACCAACCGUGCGCCGAAUCGCGGCUCCGAAAAUUAUAGGUCUACGGUUUGUUGCCACGAGCCCCCGAUUCCAUUUUCACGACUUUACGAUGUCGCCUCGGCCCUCCAGGCGGAAACGAAGUUAAAUAGUCCGUCUCUUCAAUAUCUUUACAACGGCUCGACGAAUCGCCGAACCGACUUCGCCAACGCAUUCGUUUACCUAGCAAUUAGGUUAACAGAGGGUCAAUUGAGAUCACACCCAUACAUUUCAUAAAACCCCAUUUUUGAAGCCCUAGAUGCCAUUAUUGCUAAAUCCACUAUUUAACUUCAUGAAUCAAGCAAUAAACCUCUAAUUAGCAUCUAAGCAUUCUACUAAAUCCAUCUUUAGAGCAUACAAAGCUAAUCCUAGAGAUCUACCAUGAGAGGGCUCAAGAUGCUCACCUCAAAGCUUGCUCCAAACCAUGGAGAAGAUGAAGAAGAUGAAGAUGAUUCACUUCCAAGCUUCAAUCUUCACCAAAUCCAUCAAUUUGGGGAGAGAUCUAGAGAGAGAAAGGGGGGUUUCUCUCUCCCUCCAUGUAUGCGUGUGUGUGUGUGUGUGUGUGUGUGUGUGUGUGUGUGUUCGGUUGAGGAGGCAGGAGAAGAAGGGAUUAAUACCUUUUUACAAGUUAGCCCCUCAACUAUACACUAUUCAUAUCAGUUUAGCAGAUACAAACUGACGUUUUUCGUCGGAGCCCUUCUGAAUGUCCGUUUAUGCUCAAAUUUGACAGUCAGGCUUGGUUUUACUUAAUAAGUACAAAAAAAUUUUAAUCUUUCAGUUUCGACCCCGUUUGGUCACCGAAAGCCCUACCGAACUGUAAUCUUUAGCAGAUAGCAGUUCGAUUUCAUUCUCCACUUUUCGGGUGUCAGAAUGGAUGAAACUUUAUAUCUAAUCUCAUAAAAAUAUUUCUGACAUAUUCUUCGGUUUUCAUAAUUUUCUGACACUGUACAUUUUCUGCUAAUUUAUCUGCCCUGUUUCUCACAGAAAAUUCUAAAUCUUCUAUUUUUUCUCUCCGAUUUCAGCACAGGUCAUUUUCAAUCUAUAUUUCACUUCACUAAUCCAAUAAAAAUAGUAUCUCACACUAUUUUUAUUUAUUUUUUACUUUUAUAUCAAAAUCUGAUAUAUUACAAGCCGAAAGUGUACCGGUACACUUCCUCGUAUCACCGGUAACACGACUGCGCAGAGACAAAACCCGAGAGCUGCUUCUCGGUUUUGUAGCAUUUGUACCGGUACACUUUCAAUGUUGUACCGGUAUACUUUGCUGCACCGGUUACAACUCAAUGGUUGUACCGGUACACUGUGCCAAGACUUGGUUUUUGGUUCCAUUUCGAUUCUAUUUCGCGCCGAACAACGCUAAAACCUUUCCAACUCCUUCUAAGCUCACUUUUAACCCUUCCAACCUUGCUGGAAUGUUAAAUAGAACUCGUCCAACCAUUUUAUUCACACGCUUUAGUCAAUUUGACUAAAGUCCAAUAUUUUCUACCUAAGUUUCGGUAUGUUACAUUCUCCACCCCUUAAAAGAAUUUCGUCCACGAAAUUCAAUCCAUACCGCAAUUCAGCUCCUCGAGCAAUUGAGGGUACUAAUGCAUUUCCCAUUCUAGUAAGGCUUUUCACCUUUUGAACCAACUUCAAGGCCUAUUAUGGGGGAUGUGAGACCAAACUCACUCACAUUUGCUACGGUCAAUGUUAAACUACUUUCGCAACAAACGCUCCGUUCGUAAAUCUAAGUCAAACUCCUCGAUAAGGCUAUCCGCCAAAUUGCUUUUCUCAAUUUCAUAGGUGGCCCACGGACCGCUAGUGCCACAAAGGCCUAUCGCCUAGUCUGUCUCAAUACACAGCGUCUCUUGCUCGCAAAUGCAGACCCAAUCAUCAUCAUCGGGCAAAAUUCUCACUUGGGAAUUCGCACACACUCUAACCAGGAGUAAUCUAGACCCCAAACCACGUCAAGUCCACGGGUUGGGUCACUACACACUCGGUGUAUCCUUGAUCUCAGAUCCAUCACGUGGCAUACCACGUCCCCAGGUCUAAGCUCGGACUACCGCCCUGACCAAAACUCUAGCCCUACCCGUAGGUACCGGGCCGCUGUCACUCACAGUUGACUGCGCCUGCCCAAAAGGGCCCAGGCUCCACAGUCCAUAAAUGGUCCAGGCACAGUCGUCCCCAAGCACUACCCGCCAACGUCAUCUCACACGACACGCUCACCCGAGCAACACAUACUCUAUCGGCUCCUAAGUACCUAGUGCGAGCCAUCAGCCCCACGAGUGAUCCAUGGCCCGCUUCACACUUAGCCAUACUGAAGUGCUACUGCCAACUCACUCGGCUGAUCUACAUCCGCACUCUACGAGUGUCCGCAUUCGAGCGCUCUACGCCUCUAUAGCGUUUCAACUAAGCCAAGCAUUAGGCAACCUUACCUGUGCAUGUUGACCACACGAGCACUACUUGCCUACCUCAAUUCGAGGUACUACUAGGCCCACAUGCCCGCACUCGGCAACCAGCCGGCCACUCUCUUAACCGUUCUCUCAACGGUGAUCUACUUUCACCAUUUCGUCCCUACCACGAGUCUCACCUCUCGUCUAAGAGUCAUUACUAGCCAUUUGCUAGUGCCACUUGGCUCCCUACCUGCUCCAGCAGGCACUACACUCUCACCGCGUAAGCAUGCUCGGGCAUCUGCACCUACCCGUCAUUGGGUCCCUACUAUACUGAUACAUGAUUAGUAGCAACGGACCGUAAAGAUAAAUGCAAUGCAACAACUUAAAUCAUGCAAAAGCAUAUGCUUGCUCAACUAAUCCAUACCUGCUACGACAUCGUCAGUAGUGGCAGGUUCCUCAACUUGGGUCGCAUAUCCAUGGCCACUUGGCGCUCGCCGCGAACCCUCCGGUUGCCUGACCAUCACACCUCGCUCUCCAGAUCGUGCCAAAGGCUGCACAUCUACAAGCUGUCCCGGUGAGGAAAAGGUCGUCGUCAACAUCAAGGCCUGGCUCUCGCCUUGCGGGCACUCAUCCCGCAUAUGGCUUGGCUGUCCACAACGGAUAUACCGUCCAUCCCGCAUCGCACAUCACCGCGCCUGGUGGGAACCACCACAAAUCACACAUCCGGAGGAGGAUCGGGUAGAGGACGACCUCGAGUGGUGUCUGGAACUUGACUGACCACCUGAACCACUCGAUAAUGGCCUCACCCCUCCUCGCUCAUGCCUAUGAGAUUCGCGCUCCUCACGCACGAAAGCCUCACCAUGCUCUACCCACAAUGCUCGGUCCAACACCUCUGCGAAGGUCGUGAGCCUAAGGAUUUGCACUCUCUUGUAAAUCUUCGGUCGAAGUCCACGUAGGAACCAAUCGGCCUUAUCAUUGUCAUCCCGUACCACAUCCGAGACACAAUUCAAGAUACGAAAAAAUUUUCAUUCGUAUUCCCUCAUAGAGCGGUCUCCUUGCCGCAGCUUCCUGAACCUGUCCUGAAGCUUCCUCUUUUCAGUAUCGGGGAAAUAAGCUGAAAACACCAAUCCCCGAAACUCAUCCCAUGCCAUAGGAGGGAGACUAGGCGAUCGAUUCCGUCAAAUGCCUUUCCACCAUACCUUUGCUGACUGCUUCAAGCAAUGCACAGCUGGGGGCAUCUUGUCCGGCUCCAAGGUGUACAGCUCCUCGAAGAGCGUUUCCAUAGACUUCAACCCACAUCUCCACGAUCCACGGAUCGACAUUCUCUUCAUCGAAGACAGGCGGAUCAAACCUCUUGAAGGUCAAAAGGGCCGCCAAAGCCCGCUCUUUCUCCGCCUCCAUUUCCACAGAACUAGGGGCCACUGCCCCCGAAUCCAUCGCCAUUCCUGUCGGCACACGGCGUGCUGCUACCGGUGCAACUGUCGCAGCCUGUCGCGUCAACAACUCAUAGAGCUCCUUGAUCUGCUCCUCCUGUCGCAGCACUACGCCCAUGAGCGUACUUAUCUGUUCAUGGAGCACCGGGUCUCCACUCGCCUCAGGUUGCUCAGGGACAUCACCUGUCCCCUCCCGCGCCGAUCUAGAUGAGGAUCGCGUACGCGGUGCCAUCGUUCCGUGAAACAUGAUAACUCGAUCAAUUCUCGACCCAAAGGGUCGAACACGAGACAACCAACAAUGACUCAAUAUUAGAGAGUAUUGCCCUAGUUGCCCUAUUCGGGUAGGAGAUUGGAUCAUGCCUGUGGUUUGCUAGCAUUGCGCAAGCUAUGGGAUUUCGAUGUGGUCUUGGGUAUGGAUUGGCUAACCAAGUAUUAUGCCACGAUUGAUUUCAAGAAUCGCACGGUUACUUUUAGAGAACCGGGGCAGACUGAGGUUGUGUUUAGAGGAUGCCGGAGUUAGCUUUUUAUAAUGUCGAUCAGCUCGUCUCGAGCUAGGCAGCUGAUCAGCCGAGGAUGUGUAGCCUACUUGGCUAGUGUUGUGUUGAGGGGCGAGGAUGACACCCUCAGGAUUGAGGAUAUCCCGGUGGUAUGAGAGUUUCAUGACGUGUUUCCAGCUGAGCUACCGGGUAUGCCACCUGAUAGGGAGAUCGAGUUUGUGGUAGAUCCCGUCCCUGGAACUACUCCAAUCUCGAAGGCACCCUAUAGGAUGCCACCGGCGGAGCUAAAGGAGCUGAGGGCACAGCUGCAGGAUCUGUUGGACAGGAGCUUCAUUCGACCGAGCGUCUUGCUGUGGGGAGCGCCAGUUUUGUUCGUCAAGAAAAAGGACAGAUCACUUCGCCUAUGUGUGGACUAUCGUAAACUUAAUAAAGUCACGAUCAAGAAUAAGUAUCCGUUGCCGAUGAUCGACGACUUAUUUGAUCAGCUUCAAAGAUCGUGUGUAUAUUCCAAGAUAGACUUGCAGUCGGGGUACCACCAGUUAAAGAUCAAACCCGAUGAUGUAUCAAAGACGGCUUUUAGAACACGGUAUGGACACUAUGAGUUCACAGUUAUGCCGUUUGGGCUUACUAAUGCCCCGGCAGCUUUUAUGGAUCUGAUGAACCGUGUUUUUAAGCCUUAUCUAGACAGGUUCGUCGUGGUGUUCAUCGACGACAUUUUGGUCUAUUCUCGAAGUGAUGUGGGUCACGAGGAGCAUUUGAGGCUUGUACUUCAAAUACUUUGGGAAAAGAAGCUUUAUGCCAAGCUGAAAAAGUAUAAAUUUUGGCUUCGAGAGGUAGCCUUCCUUGGACAUUUGAUAUCGGGAUCAGGUAUAGCCGUGGAUACUAAGAAGAUUGAGGCUAUCAAGGAUUGGCCGAGACCGACGAGCGUCACGGAGAUUCGGAGUUUUCUUGGACUGGGCAGGUUAUUACCGGAGAUUUGUCGAGGGGUUUGCUAAGUUAUCUAUUCCCCUCACGAGGCUCACGCAUAAAGGUGUCAAGUUCAUAUGGAAUGAUACGUGUGAGAGAAGCUUCCAAGAGUUGAAGCAACGACUGACGACCGCCCCUAUCCUAACCAUGUCGGUUGCUUGAGCAGGUAUGUGGUUUACAGUGAUGCACUUCUUAAUGGAUUGGGCUGCGUUUUGAUGCAGGAUGGCAAGGUGAUCGCGUAUGCUUCUCGCCAACUGAAGGAAUAUGAAAAGAACUACCCUACGCAUGAUUUGGAGUUCGCGGCCGUAGUCUUCGUAUUGAAGUUAUGGCGCCACUACUUAUAUGGCGAGCGGUGUGAAGUAUAUACGGAUCACAAGAGCUUGAAGUACCUGUUCACUCAGAAGGAGUUAAACUUGAGGCAGCGCAGAUGGUUGGAACUGCUCAAGGAUUAUGAUUUGACGAUCCUAUACCACCCGUGCAAGGCUAACGUGGUGGCGGAUGCGCUACGUAGGAAAUCGACGGAAAACUUAGCGAUCCAUGUUGUUACUCAACCGCAGUUGAUCGAGCAGAUGAAGCGGUUGGAGUUGGAGGUGGUGACUCCUGACACGCCUUUGAGGUUGAUGACAUUGAUAGUGCAACCUACACUUGUGGAUAGAAUUAAAGAAAUGCAAGCUUCCGAUGUGGAGUUGCAAAAGAUUAGAGAUAGAAUGGUUGAUGGUUGCACCGGCGAUUUCCUUGUGGAUGACCAAGGAUUGAUGCGUUUCCGUGGGCGGAUUUGUGUACCGACGGAUUUGGGAAUUAAAGAGGAUAUUCUUCAAGAAACGCACCGAGCGCCCUAUGCUAUACAUCCGGGAGGCACCAAGAUGUAUAAGGAUUUAAAGUUGCUUUAUUGGUGGCCCGGGAUGAAAAAGGAUGUUGGCGAGUUUGUAGCUCAUUGUUUAACUUGCCAACAAGUAAAGGCUGAGCACUGAUUACCCGCGGGAAAACUUCAGAGUUUGCCUAUUCCCGUGUGGAAGUGGGAGAAGAUCACCAUGGAUUUCAUGACAGGAUUGCCUCGCUCUCAGGCCGCGCAUGAUGCUAUAUCGGUGAUCGUGGAUAGGUUGACGAAGUCGGCGCACUUCAUACCUAUUCAUACUACUUGGACCGGAGAGAAGCUCGCACAAGUGUACCUUGAUGAGAUUGUGCGACUUCAUGGAGUGCCUACUUCGAUUGUAUCGGAUCGAGACACUCGGUUUGUGUCUCACUUUUGGAGAAGUCUGCAGGACGCCCCGGGCACUCGUUUGGACUUCAGCACUGCUUUCCACCCUCAGAGUGGCGGGCAGUCGGAACGUACUAUUCAGACCUUAGAGGAUAUGCUCCGAGCUUAUGUGAUAGACUUCUAGAGAGGAUGGUCGCAGCAUCUACCGAUGGCGGAAUUUGCUUAUAACAACAGUUAUCAAGCAAGCAUCAAGAUGGCGCUCGUCGAAGCACUUUAUGGACGGAAGUGUAGAUCGCCACUUUAUUGGAGUGAAGUCGGCGAGAGAUUGGCAUUAAGCCCUGAUGUGCUCUAAGAAGCAGAGGACAAGAUUCGAAUUGCUCGGGAGCGACUUUUGACGGUGCAGAGUAGAUAGAGGAGCUACGCCGAUCGACGGCGGCGAGACUUGGAGUUCCAAGUUGGAGACCAUGUAUUCUUCACGGUCUCGCCGACUAGAGAGAUCAGGAGAUUCGGGAUUCGGGGUAAGUUGAGCCCCCGUUUUAUUGGACCAUAUGAGAUCUUGGAACGAGUAGGUCCGAUAGCGUAUCGACUUGCUCUACCGCCAAACCUAUCGGGCAUGCACAACGUCUUUCAUGCAUCGGUCCUUCGGAAGUAUGUUUUCGACCCGACUCAUGUGUUGGAUGCUACACCUGUGGAGUUGCGGGAUGAUUUGAGUUUCGAGGAGCAACCCGUGAAGAUGUUGGCUCGCGAGGUGAAGAAACUGCGGAAUCGGGACAUUCCAUAUGUAAAGGUUCUUUGGAGCAACCACGGGGAGCGGGAGGCCACGUGGGAGCUAGAGAGCGCGCUGUGGGAGCGCUAUACCUAUCUUUUUCAAAUGGAGUUUUGAGGUAUGUUGUUGCUUUUGAGUUUCGCGGACGAAACUCCUUUUUAGGAGGGGUGAAUGUAACACACUGGACCUUUGCAAAUUGCGAGGUUCGCGUGUUUGAUAUGGAUUCCGAGCUUUUCCACACUUGGUGGAAGGCCGUAGACUAUAUUUCGACCUAAAAGUUCGAAUUCUGAAUUUUUGGCUAAGUCCUGAGAGUUUUUACUCUCGGGGAUCAGUCCUUGGUGGGAGAGACCGGUCCCCCCGGAACAGUGUUGCGGCAAACUCGAGGUAACCGGUCCCUGGCAGGGAGAGACCAGUUCCCGAGAGCUUGUUUUGCGGGAGGGUCCUGAGGGACCGGUCCCAGCUGGGAGAGACCGGUCCCUCUGGGCGAAAAUUGCCCAGUUCGGGCUCAUGCACAGAUUGGAUUCUUGAGGGAUCUAACUGUAUUUUGUUGCUUUAGAGGACUUUUAGAGUCAUUUCCCCUCUCUCUUUCCCUCACUUCUCACUCUCUCACACCUCUAGAAAGAGAAGAAGAAGAAGAGGAAGAGCUUGCUUGAGGGAGCUUGUUGGCCUUGGAGCAUCAACCCUUUCUUUCUUUUUUCACCAUUGGAGGCUUGGAGCUUGGAUUUGGAGCUUUGUGGAGGAUCAAACUCCAAUCCUUGUGGGUUUUGAGCUUGGUUUAGAGCAUCCUAGAGGUAUGUGGCUAAUUUCUCUCCUCUAGAUCCUAGUUUUGGAGCUUUUUACUAGAUGAAACCCUAGAUUUGGAUUUUAGGGUUUAUUUUGGGGAUUUUUGAUUGGAGGGCUUUGGGACCCCAUUGAUUGGCUUAGAACCUUUGUUUAGGUUAUAUUGGAAGGGCUCUAACUCCCAUUUGGAGAUCGAGAGAGCACUCUUCGCAUUUGGUGAGUUUCUAGCCCUAUUCUUGAGUUGGUUUUUGAUCGAACCAUUAGAUUUUCGUUUGCUUCUUUGGCCUCACCUUUUGAUGCUUCUAGGGUACUAGGAGGCUAGUGGGCACCUUCGUCGGAGCAAACGAAGGGUCGCAAGAGUUGUGGUGGGUUUGACUUCAUGAAAUCGGGACGAAAUGGCCCCUAUGUAUUCUAUACUUGUCGUAACGUUAAUUUGAUUGCAUAUUCAUAUUAAAUGGGAUUUAUGUGAAUUUUAGAACACUUAAAAUGCAUGUGUCAUGUGUAAGAUAAAUUUCACUCUAUAUAGUAGAGCCUUCUGGGUAUUAAGCAUGCAUGUGAGAAGUGUUCAUGGUAGCGAAUUGGAAACUUGUCUCGUAUGCUUAAAAUAGCUCAAAUUAUGCAUUUAUGAACAUUUGAUUCGAGCUUGGACUUAGCGAAUAAAAAUGCCAUCAAGGGGCACCUGACUUAGUAGACUAUGAAACUGCUACUUUGAGACACAAUGACGGGCCAUUGACAUCUAUUACUUUUCAUAUUUUAGACAUGAUGCCAUAGAGAUAGGCCAUUAAGACAUUCGAUAUAUUCCAUGUUGUUAGACAUGAGGACUUGGUACUUGAGACGGAUCUUACGUUACUUGUCAUUGUGCUCAUUCACACAUGCUUGUGAGGGUCGCUCCCUACAAGCUGGCACUCCGGAGACGGCCAUCGCGAUACAUGUUCGCCGUGCGCGAUUGGGCGCCGAAGUGGAUUGCCGUGGGCUAGGCUCAUCCCUAGGGUGGGGAUGUUGACUACCACGGGGCCAUUAGGCUCGGCACCGGCCAUACAGCCCAUGGGUGGGUCUCAGGGCCAGACAGCCUUCGGGCGGGUCUCUUCAGAUUUGACUUUGAGCAUUCAUCAUGCUAUGUGGACAUUGACUAGAAUAGUAAACAAUGAUAUCUUUACUAUUUAGCUUGUGGAUAUCAUACUAGUGAUACUUUGGUACAUUCAUACUAGUGUAGCCUUUUAUUACUUGAGCAAAAUCAUGCUAAGUAGUGAUAUCUUGUGGUAGCAAGUAUUCAUGUUUAUUUACCUGUUGUACAUAUCGCACUUACUCCUACUUGUUUACUGACCCCCUUUUUGUAGCCUCUGGGCAUAGUGGCGCAUUUCACUAAAGUCAGUAAUUGCCCACUGGGAACUAUUAUUUAAUAGUUCUCACGCCCCUGUUUCUAUGUUUCCUUUUUAGAGCCUUCGGCACCAGCGGAGGCACGGGAUUGCGGCAAGGGUGUCGCCUAGCUUGAUAGAUAGCGGAGCUCACUUUUGCUCCUAGAUGGUUACCCUCUCGUUUUUUUGUGUUUUGUGUGAGAAUGGUUUUGUACCAUGUAUAGAGACCACCUAUGUACCUUGUUUAGCUCUUGUAUUUGGGACUUCUAUUGUAUUACUUUAUGUUUUUACAUAGUGGAUUUAGCCUUAUGUUCUUUUUUCUUAUUGUAGCUUAUAGAUAUACUUUGCUCUGAUACUUAUAGAUAUUCUCCUUUUGUUGCUUUAUUUAUUGCUUCGUUAUUUCUUUUAUCGUUUUGUUUUAGACGCCUUAUAUGUUUUAGACAUACGGUGGGUCUGGGCAUGCUCCGGGCGGGCUUCCGCUGGGUCCCGGGGCGUGACAUAUGGUUACCUAUCUAUCUGUUUCUUCUACUUAUGCCUGGUUUAGACCUAGUGGGAAAGUCGGCGGGGUCGGCGACCGAACCCACUAGGAACUUUCUUGUAGUUCUCUCCCCACUAUUUUUACAGAUCCAGGUCCGAGCGAGGUGGUCGAGGACCGUGGCAAGGGUAUCGCACCCUAGCUAGUGACUACACGAGUAUAGUACAUACCUUAUCGUUAUCAUCUUUUGUUUAUGAUGAGCAAAUGUAUAAAUGAUGUAUAAAUGUAAAAGACUUAUGUUUUUGAUGAUGAUCAUAUGAUGUAUAUAUGAAAGAAUGAAAGAAUGUAAAUGGUUAUAUGCAUGUAUUUGAUUAAAAGUAAUCAUAGUACUUGUAUGGAUGUUAUAGUGUAGAACUUUCACUUUUAGUUGUUGUUUGCUUUCGAGCAAGCCAUGAAUAUCUUUAUUUCCGCUUGCGCAAAAUUAUAUACAUAUUGAUAUUGUGUUAAGCCUUGGGCGGGCAGGGGAAGUACUGUCCGUCCGAUGUCUGUUGACAUGCCCGAACCGACCAAAUCGUCGGUCCUGGGGCGUGACAGAUAUAAUGGUAUCAGAGCCUAGAAAAGUGAAAGUUUAGGAUGGACCUAGAAACCCUCAUGAUGAAAACUUUAAGGACCUAGGGACAUGAGCAACGUGGAAUUGAUUUAUAGCGAAAGCCACGUGGAUUGAGUUAGUGUUAAUACGUCCCUAAUGGUAAUUAGGGACUAAUCCAAGUGGAUGUUUGUUCUCUAUUUCAAGGGUUGUUUUGGGCGGCCGACAACAUGAUGCCUAGGAAUGAGAAUGGAUUCACUUGUAUGCUUUCGCUUGAUUGGGUUUCAUUUACGUAUGUUAAAACAAUGCGAUAGUGUCGUGAGUCAAGUAACUAAUGUGGUUGUUACGUUUCAGGAAGUGAUGUCUCGUGGUAGACCUCAAACAAGGUCGAUGCCUGAGGAACCGAGUUCGGCUCCCGAGCAAUCCGGAGCGAGUGGCGACGGGGAGCUUCGGGAGCAGGUGUCAGCACUUAUAGGAGUAGUGCGACAACAAGUGGAGUCGGUGCAACGCCAAGGGAAGCAAAUCAAGCGGCUCCAGGAGGCUUGGGUGCAACAGCAGGCGAUGUCGGCUCAAGCGGGCAUCAAGCGACCUGCGCCCCCUGUCAUGAUAUCGAAUGCGACAGAGGGCAUGGCUGCGGCGGCUAUACCUGUCGCAGCGGUGGCAGCUGGUUCGGGUACCUCAAAUCCCGACGGUGCGGCCAUGGAAGAGGAGCGGGAGCGUGCGCUCGCGGCUCUCGUGAUGUUCAAGAAGUUCAAUCUGCCUGUGUUCAACGGAGAAAAGGUGUAGCCAUGGAUGGUUGAGUCAUGGAUCAACUCAAUGGAGAUACUCUUCGAGGAUAUUUAUACCUUGGAGAAAGAUAAAGUGCACCUUGCUGCGCACUGUUUAGAGAGGUCGGCGAAGGUGUGGUGGAAAAGAGUAAAGCGGGAUUGAUCUUCUGACCUUCCACCUAUGGUUUGGGAGGAGUUUCGGAGGUUAGUGUUUACAAACUACUUCCCCGAUAGCGAGAAAAAGAAGCUUUAGGAUAAAUUUCGGAAGCUAAGACAAGGAGAUCGUUCAGUGGGAAAGUAUAAGCGGGAGUUUUCCCACAUUAUUGACUGUGUCCCGGAUGUGGUUCGGGAUGACAAGGAUCGGGCUGAUUGGUUCUUGCGAGGACUUUAACCGAGGAUUUAUGAGAAGGUGUAGAUCCUGAAGCUUACAACCUUUGCGGAGGUUUUGGAUGGGGCGUUGUGGGCGAACCACGGUAGUGCAUAUGCGCGUGGGGAGCGCGAGUCUAUGGACAACGACAGGGACAGGGGAAAGAAGCGGACUGCGGGUGGUGUCAGGAGCCGGUCGAAUGCUAAGAAACCCCCUCGAUAUCCACGACAGCAGUCGAAGAAUUGGAGACCCACUCGAUGUAUUAUUUGCGGCGGUGAUCAAUGACCGCCGGCCUGCCCACAGUGUGAUAGAAGAUGUUUUAAAUGUGGUCAAGCUGGACAUGUUAUCCGGGAGUACCCAAGUUGGACAUCAUUUGCCCAGACGACUGCCUCAGUUCAGUAUGCCCCGCGACAGCUUGCGGGACUGCCACCUGCUAUAUCGGUUGGACGCUCUUCGGUACCGCGUCAGUCAGAGGGAUCUCGUGCGGCACCGAGUGGCCGGGUUUUCGCCGCUCAGGUGGAGGAGCCUGCCGUACCGAGUGAUGUUGUGGCAGGUAUUGUUUUAAUUAAUAGCACUAGAGCUAGAGCAUUAUUUGAUAUUCGUACAUCUCAUUCAUUCAUUAGUGCAUCAUUCGCUAGAGCUCAUGGUAUUGUGAUAUCGGAUAGUGCGGAUGCUUGGUGGGUUUAUGCACUAAAGCAUACUUUUAGUGUCAAUGAGGAGUGCGCGGCUUGUCCAGUGUUAAUUGGGGAUUGGAUUAUGCCGGCGGACUUGCUUGUCUUGACCCGAAUGUGGGGCUUCGAUGUAAUUCUUGGAUUAGAUUGGCUCUCGAAAUAUUAGGCUGUCAUUGAUUGCGAAAGCAAGAUGAUCACUUUUCGUGAGCCCGAUCAAGAGGAACUGGUAUAUCAUGCAUGCAAGAGCUCGCACUUUGCAGCAACAGUGUCGGCAUCGAGAGCGAGAAAAUUGAUCAAAAGUGGAUGUGUGGCUUAUUUGGCGACGGUGGUAGAGGCCCAAAGGGAACCCCCAACACUUGGGGAUAUUUCGAUAGCAUGUGAGUUUCCGGAUGUGUUUCCGAUGGAGUUACCGGGAUUGCCACCGGACCGAGAGAUCGAGUUCGUCAUUGACUUGGUUUCCGAGACGGCGCCAAUUUCGAAGGCUCCGUAUUGAAUGGCACCGACAAAGUUAAGUGAGUUAAAAGCUCAACUGCAAGACCUACUCGAUAAAGAUUUUGUGAAGCCGAGUGUGUCACCGUGGGGCCCUCCGGUGCUAUUUGUGAAAAAGAAGGAUGGAACGCUUCGGCUCUGCGUUGAUUAUCGCGAGCUGAACAAAGUGACAAUCUAAAAUAAAUACCCGUUACCGAGGAUUGAUGAUCUAUUCGACCAGUUGCAAGGGUCUCGGGUAUAUUCGAAAAUUGAUCUCUAGUCAGGGUACCACCAGUUGAAGAUCAAGCCGGAGGAUGUUCAUAAGACGGCGUUUCGUAUGCGAUAUGGCCACUACGGGUUCACAGUAAUACCCUUCGGGCUUACCAAUGCCCCUGCAGCAUUUAUGGACUUCAUGAAUCGAGUCUUUCGACCACUGUUGGAUUGAUGCAUCGUGGUGUUCAUUGACGACGUAUUGGUCUAUUCGCGAAGUGAUGAAGAGCACAAGGAGCAUUUGAGAACUGUGUUGCAAAUACUCUGAAAAGAGAAGCUUUAUGCCAAGUUGAAAAAGUGCGACUUUUGGCUACGCGAAGUUGCCUUCUUGGGCCAUGUGAUAUCUGGGAGCGGUGUCUCGGUAGAUCCAAAGAAAGUUGAGGCGAUUAAAGAUUGGCCUCGUCCGACGAGUGUCACGGAAAUCCGCAGUUUCCUUGGUCUUGCGGGGUAUUAUCGGCGGUUCGUGGGGGGGUUUGCUAAGAUAACUACUCCACUGACGCGCCUCAACCACAAGAGAGCGAAGUAUGUGUGGAGCGACGACUGUGAUUGAAGCUUCAAGGAGUUAAAGAAGAGGUUGACUACUACCCCGGUACUCGCUUUACCGAUUCCGGGGGAGAGCUUUGUAGUAUAUAGUAAUGCUUCAUAUAGUGGUCUUGUGUGUGUUGUUAUGCAAGGUGGGUGAGUUAUUGCUUAUGCUUCUCGCCAGUUAAAGAG